Molecule: long non-coding RNA, 56966 nt
Filed under: Gossypium barbadense (sea-island cotton)
Lineage: Eukaryota; Viridiplantae; Streptophyta; Magnoliopsida; Malvales; Malvaceae
Description: long non-coding RNA (GBAR_LNC003778)
Source: RNAcentral
AUUUGACCCCUAAACUUUUGCAUAUUUGCACUUUUUCCCCAAGGUUCGGAAAUUAAACUUCUUCCUAUUUUCUUAUGUUUUAUGACAUGGUGAUCAUUUUUCCCUUCUAUGGCAACAUCAAAUUCUCACUCUAACAUGUACUUAUGAACAUUAGGUAUUUUUAACGAUUAUACCGUUUUACUCGUUUUCACGUAAAAUCGCUUAGCAAAAGUUGUUUAACAUAAUUUCAAGCUUCAUAUUCUACCAUUAAACAUCAAAAUACAUGCAUAUCAUUUAUAGGUAAAUUUUUAAACAUAAAUCCUAGCUCAAAAUAAUGGUAGAAAUGAGCAGAUCGUUACCAGGAUUUCAAAAAUACAUAGAACAUUAAAAACGGAGCUCAGAAUCACUUACUAUUAAAGUUGGAAGCUUGGCCAAACCCUAACCAUGGCUGCUCUUGGUACAUUCUGCUGUAGUAAGAAGAAAGGGACACAUUUGGAGUUUAAAGUUUGUCUUUUAAUUCAUUUUACCCCUAAAUGACCAAAAUACCCUUUUUACCAUUCUUUCAAAUUUUACCCAAUUAAGGCUAUUUUUGUCCAAAAAGUUAUAAAAUAGUUUAAUUAUCAUUUAAGGACCUCCCAUUUAAAAUUUCAUAACAAUUUGAUACUUCUAACAUGUAGAACUCAACUUUUGCACUUUUUACAAUUUAGUCCUUUUUACUAAAUUGAGUGCCCAAACGUUGAAAUUUUCACGUAAUCAUUUUAUGAAAUCGUAGACCAUAAAAAUGAAAUUUUCCUAAUCGGAUUUGUGAUCCCGAAACCACUGUUCCGACUAAGCCCAAAAUCAAGAUGUUACAAUGCUUCUACUGUCAACUAAAGAUCUUAAUUGUUGCUCUUGUAUGUUGUUGACAUAUUAUAGUAUUUUAAUCUUAUCAAUAUAAUAUUUAAAUUAUCUAAAUGGUUUUAGAUAAAAGUAAAAUGUAAUUAUUUAAUUUUAAAAAAUAGAGAUAACUUAUUCAAACUAUAAUUUUUAAAAAAUAAAAUAAAAUCAAGCUUACAUUUUUAGCCUUUAAGACAUUACCUAUGUAUCUAUUUAAGGUAAAUUAUACAAAUAGCCACCUAAUUAUGUCUAUGUUCCUGUUUUGGUCACUCAACUUUAAAAAAUUUCAAUUUAGGUACUAAUUUAUUUUUUGGUUCUUGUUUUUGGUCACUCGCCAUUAAAUUGAUAAUUGAAAGUCUUUUUCUAACUGAUAUAAUAACACAUUUAGUCGUCAAUACUUAUAUUUUUUUAUCAAUUUGAUCUAAUUCUAAAUAAUUUCAAUAAAUUUAACCCUUUUAUUUACAAAUUCUAUCAGUUUGAUCCUCAAACUUUCUAACCAAAGCUCUCAACUUUUAAAAUAGAGACAUUCCACAUCUAUAAAUUUAUAAAACCCAAGAAGAAAGAAAUUCUCCAAUUAUAUAAAUAUAACGUACUUGUAAUAUAAAUAUUUUACAUCCAUUUCUCCAUCACUCAUAUUUUCAAUAAUAUCCCUCCAUUGAGAUUUUCUAACCUAAAAGUAUUCAAGAGGAAAUUAUAAUAAUAAGCGUAAAUCAAUAAAUCCUAAAAGGUAAGUUAUAAUGCUUCCACACCCAAAUCUUUUAUUUCAAUGCAAUUAAUUUUAAUUUUAAUUUUAAUUUUGUGUAAAUGUGAACUUCUUAUAAAAUUUAUUUUCUUUUUUGGUUUUUGGAUAUUAAAUUUGAGAUAAAAAAAAAUAAGUACAUAUAUUAAAUUAAAGUUUAUUGUUGAGUUUAGUAUUUUCACUAUCCAUAUAUAAAUAUAUAUUUAAUAAAAUAAAAAAGUAAAAAGUAAAUUAAACAUGCAAUAUAUUUUUAAACUUUACUUAAAAAAAAUUUUAAACUUUCACUAUCCAUACAUGGGAUGAUAAUCCUUGAAUCAAAAUAAAUUUUUUUUAUUAACAUAUUUGGCAGAAUUAGGUAAGUUUUUUUCUUCUUUUCUAUUUGAGUUUCUAUAAAUUUAUAGACGUGGAAUGCCUUUAUUUUAAAAGGCAAAAAUUUUGGUUAGGAAGUUUGAGGAUUAAAAUGAUGAAAUUUGUAAAUGUAAAAAGUUAAAAUUAUUAAUUUAUUUAGAAUUAGGAUCAAAUUGAUAGAAUAUGUAAGUAUCAAGGACUAAAUUGUUAUCAUACCAAUUACAAAAAGUAGCGCUAUUAUUUCUUUUAUCAAUUUAACGGUGAGAGACCAAAAUAUGAACGAAUACAAAGUUCAGUACUUUAAUUGAAAAAUUUUAAAGCUGAGUGACUAAAACAGGAACAUGAACAUAGUUGAGUUUCACAUAUUUAUUUAUCUUAUUUAAUACUUCAAAAUUUUGUUUCAAGCAAGAUUUUACAAAUUUAAACUUUGGUUUAAACGCAUACUAAGGAACUUUUAAAUUUGUUUAAAUUUUGUUUUAAGCAAAAUUAGUUUUCAUGGACAAUUUAAACACAUAUUAAGGAACUUUUUCAUAUUUUGUUUAUAAUAGAAAAAACUUUUUUUUAUACAAUAUUGAGGGUAGGGAUGAGAGUCACACGGUUUAAAACCAUAUGUUGUAUCAAAUGGAUAUCCAAAAAAAUUUUAAAGUAUCAAUUUAUACAUGUCAAGACAAUUGAAAGAAGUUGAAACUACAAUGAUUUUUAAUUGGCCCUUCAACUUUUACAAAAAAAAUUAUUUUUAUCCCUCAAUUUAAUUUUUCGCACGAUGUUACAUAAAAUUAAUUAAAUAUUAAUGUAUCAUCUAUGUGACAAUAAAAAAAUAAAUAAAAGAUUAAAAUAAAUUUUCUUUUUGUAAAAUUAAAAUAUCAAAUAAAUUAUUAUACCAUUUAGCAGCAUUGCAUUGUAGAAAAAAGAAUAAUAAUAAUAGAUAUUAAUAUUCAGAUGUUAUAUAAAAAGAAUCUGAUUCUAAUUUUUUUUGGGAAAAUAAAUAGUUUUCAAUGUAGUUUAUGUAAUAAGAAUGAAUAUUGAUUAUUAAAAAAAAAAAAAAACCAAUCUCUAAGAAAGUUAAAACAUUUGAACAUACCUAAAUUAAUAACUAUUAAGAGAUUCAUGGUUUCAAAGACUUAUCCUUUUCCCUACAAAAUUAGUAAAAGAAAUGAAGCUUAUAGAAUUAUUUAUACGAAUUCGAAUUGUAUAGUGGUAUAAUUAUAGUUGUGCUUUAUUUCUAAUGGAAAAGAGAGAGAAAUAUAUGUGCUUUAUUUCCCACUCUAAACCAAUAAAGUCGCUUGUUCAACUUGUACAUGAAGUACUUGCUUUAGAGAAGUCAAGUAGUCAAGAUUUUUCGAUUAAGGGAGACAUUACCACUUAAUGAAGUAGUUGAAUCAGGGUAGGGCUCUUCAUUGCUAAAUUACUUGAAAAGCCAUGCCGGUUACUCCAUUUUGUUAAAAGAAAAAAAAAGAAAAGAAAAAACUUGUGGAGUGUAGUCAUAGUCUUUCGGUACCCAUCAUGGCUCAAAUCACACCAUCAUCUGAUCUUGAUUUUGUUGAUGAUUUUUACUACUCGGCACUCUUUGAUGAAGACGAACAUGAAAUCUUUCCACCAUCUGACGACAAGUAUGCCGAGGAGUUGCAGUUUCAAGAGGCUCUCAUGUCAUCCACCGUCUUUUCCGAAAUGGGUAACAAUGACAUCUGCAACCCAUGGAUCGCCCAUGCUUCAUCACCCCUGUUAAUCCAAGCCCUGCCUCAGCCCGAGUUACUGGAGAUGGAAACAGAGGAAAGCGGUGAAUCCUCCUUAAGCUUCUGCGAGAUUUGCGUCGAAAGGAAAGAAAACGAUCAGAUGUUCACUACGCAAAGCUGCAACCACUCUUACUGCUCCGAUUGCAUUAGCAAGCAUGUUUCGACGAGGGUUGAAGAAAACUUAACCGUAGUAAGGUGCCCUGGAGUGCAUUGCGAGACUGUCUUGGAACUCGAUGAGUGUAGGCCUCUGCUUCCGGAGGUGGUAAUCCAUCGGUGGGAAGAUGCUCUCUGUCAGGAGUUUAUUAAUGCAUCCCAGAGAUUUUAUUGCCCGUUCAGGGAUUGUUCAGCCUUACUUCUGAAUGAUGGGGGUGAAGUUAUUAGAGAAGCGGAGUGCCCAUUCUGCCACAAAUUGUUUUGUGCGCAGUGUUAUGUGCCAUGGCAUCCAGGGAUUACAUGUGAGGAUUUCCAGAGGCUUAAUGAGGAUGAAAGAGGGAGAGAAGAUCUCAUGGUGAGGGAACUUGCCCAGGAGAAAAAAUGGGCUAGGUGCCCCAAGUGCAAAUACUAUGUUGAAAGAACAGUAGGUUGCCCACACAUGGUUUGCAGGUCAGUUAAUAUUCUAGUCAUUUAUAAUACUAUUCAUCAAUGAUACUGAAUGAUUGCCCUUGUCUUUGGAAUUUGGAUGAUUAGAUUUUUUUUAUGCUCUAUAUGCUGGAACGUGAUAAAUUCCCUUGAGCUCAUAUAGAUGUGUUAAAACUAGACUAUUUUAGACUUAUGGAACUGAAAAUGAUUUAAAGCUUCCUAAAAAGAGUACUUGGAGUUGAUUAAGGGAGUUGUCCUAUGAUUUUGGUCGCAGGUGUCAGUUCGAGUUUUGUUAUGGUUGUGGAGAAAAGUGGAGUAACACUCAUGGUGGCUGCCAAAGGAAUUAAGAACACAAUAACUCAACAAUACCACAGUAAAUGUUAUCAUCUUUUAAGUUGUUUUUAGUCUCUUUAAAGAAACUAUUUGCAUCAGAUGUGCAGUAAGUUUAAUUUGGUCUAAUGUUCUUAGUUUACGACACAUCAGAUAUAACUGAUGUAAUGAGGUAUGAACUAUUUGUUCGAUUUAGUACUGAGAAUUUGCUUGUUAUUACUCUUAUUUGUGAAUGAUGUUUAUCCAUUGGAGCUUGUUCUUGAUUGAUGAAGAUUGUGGUUCAUUGAGGUAGUCUUUGUGUUCAACUUACAUGCUAAAAUACACAUUAAAACACAGGUAUUGAACCUUAUGAACUGUAUCCUAGAAGCUUUAUGAAAGAAAAAGCUCUAGAAACAGGUUAGCAAUCUUAGUAUUUCACUAAAGCCUAGCAAAAGAUUAAACUGCUAAAAUACCCUUUCAUAACAAUACUUAAUCGAAAAGGAUUCAUAUUUUUUAGGCAAAAUAGAUAAAACCUUAAAAGAAACUUUUUUUUUCAGGUGGGAUUAAAAGAGGAGAAUAAAGUUGAAAUUAGAAAAAGGAAGAACAUAAAUUCAGUCACAGCCUUUUCUUUUCCUGUGCUACUGCAUUCUGUGUGUUGUACUAUGUUCUGAUCAGUUUUAACAGAGGCAGGCAAAUAUAGCUAUACUGAGAAAAAUAGCUCCUUUUUUGCUGCUGAAGUUCCUUUGUGUGCUAAUAUUGUGCCAAUCUUACAUAUAGGUCUUUGGUCAAUUACAUUAUAUAAUUUUAGGCACUUUCCAAUACUCAUAUACCCUUGGGAUAACUUUUAAGAACCAAACUUGAAAGUUCGGUCUGAAAGUAGAAGCAAGCAAGCAGAACGGCUAAUGUCCCACUAUCAUAAAAAGGACAUUAAAAGUGCAGUGAAUCUCCUUGUUUCGUUCUCUCGUAGGAAUUUCGCUUCCUUUGCGAGAAGGAAAUCAAUUCUUUAGUAAACACUAUGAGGUCUCCGUCUACUAUCUAUCUCGCACUUCUAUUCAAUAUCACGGCUACGCGUUUGUCAUUGACCUGCACCGGCAUAGGGUCAACGUGCUACACGAAAAUCAGUGAAGGGCCAGGCGUGCACGCGCUUAAAGUUGAACUUGUGACUCGGAUUGAGCUCCUCUUGCUGCACUGUGGGUUAACAAAUAUAAUGGAAAUCAUAUAUCAAUUAAUAAAUUUGAGGUUUUCAUCUUAAUAAAUAUAGUAGUGAUGGCCUAAAAAUUUGUGGUCCAAAGUCCAUUCGCAACAGAUACAUCGAACAUAUGUGCACCUGGCCCAUCGUAACCCCAUGCAAGCCGAAUCACCUUCCAGCUAAUUAUGGUUCUAAUUCAGUGCUCUAUCACUUUCUACAAGAAAGUGUAUAAUCUCUAUUUUCACUUGGUGCCAAUACGUUGGCUUGUGAGACAACAAAGCCUUCGCUCCAUAUUGAGGGUAAAAUAAGGUAGGAACUUGUUCACCCUAAUGAUGAUGAGUUCUAAGAACUAUAGCAAUAGAAUCAUUGCAGAUAAUGUUUAAUUGCCCUUUUUAUGACGCACACCAAAAUCUACAAAAAUGACAAAAGCUUUGUUCAUCUUCUGGGAUGGGUCCAUCCUUCUACUAGUGUUUUAGCUUUUUGUUGGUUAGUGACAACAAUCACAUAAAAAAUUUGACUAAGAUUCUGCAGCAAGAACCACAUUUUCGCAGGCAAGUUACAAAAGGAUGUUUGCUAUUUACUGCGUAGAAAAGUCAAAACUGUUGGAAUAUGCAUUGCUUUGCUGCCAGAUGUCAAAUAGGACUUGGCUUCAUUGCUAUUUCCCUUACGAAGUUACCCAAUAAAUUUGGACACCGUAUAUAAGAUAAAUAUAUAUAUAUACUUGGAGUUGGAGUAUCAGAUUUUCAUACUAUAUCUUCAUAUAUGUUCAAGUACAUCUAUUGAAGAUGGAUAUUUAAAAAUAAAAUAAGUGCAAAUAAUGUAGGUAAAACUUAAAAGCACAAGUCAAAGCUUCAUAUCCACUUAUAUUUAUUUAUUUGUUGAUAAAUUGCGUGGAUCGUAAUGGACAUUUUCCUAGAAAGUUACGCGAAAGUUAGAAUCAGAAACGGACAUGUUCCUAGCAAGUUAGUUUCAAAGCUACGCCCAUAUAUAUACCAAUGGCUAGUUAACUUAAAAGGGGAAAAAAGAUUGGUGUUGUAAUUAAGUGCUUGUAACAUGGCAAAAGUUUCAUCUGAUUUCGAUUUUGCAGAAGAGGUUUAUUGGUCAGUCCUUGAUGGAAACGAAGGAGGUAAUUUGGAAGACUUAGAUGCCCUGUUAGCUGAAAAGUUGCAAUUUCAAGAAGCAAUACUCUUGUCGGUCAGAGAAAACGUCUCAUCUUCGUCCUCAACCUCAAGCUUAACGUUGCAGGUGACAAGUUCGUCGAUGCCUAAGCACAAGAAGCCAGGGAAAUCUAAAAAAAGAGUCGGUCCAUCCUCCUUAAGUUACUGUGAGAUAUGUUAUGAUAGAAAAGAAAGGCAUCAAAUGUUCAGAAUCUCGGGUUGCUCUCAUUCAUUUUGUGCUGAUUGUAUUAGCACAUACGUAAAGACAAGGCUGGAGCAAAACAUAACCAUAAUCAUGUGCCCAAGGGAGAACUGCAAAGUCCCAUUGGAGCUUGAAGCGUGUAAGCCUCGGUUUCCUAAAGAGGUGAUCGAACUUUGGGGGGAUUUACUACGCGACGAACUACUUUGUGCGACGGGUGGGCAACUUUACUGUCCUUUCAAAGAUUGUUCAGCUUUGUUGCUGAAUGAUAACCAAGAAGUCAUAGCAGAAACAGAGUGCCCCUACUGCCACAGGUUGCUCUGUGCUCGAUGUAAAGUUUCAUGGCAUUCAGGGAUCAGCUGUGAGGAAUAUCAGAAGCUGAGUGAAGAUGAGAGAGGAAGUGAAGACCUGAUGGUAAGGAACCUUGCCAAAGAGAAAAAAUGGAAUCGUUGUCCUCGUUGCCAUAUCAUAGUUGAAAGAACCGAAGGUUGCCUACAUAUGACUUGCUGGUAAGUCUAUGAAUUAUACUUGUUUGCUUGCUUAGAAAGUAAUUCGAGAAAUUCGUGCUGUUUCGUUAUGCGUCUAAUUACGAAUCUUGUUGACGCUUGUGGUUGCAGGUGUAAGUACGAAUUUUGUUAUGCGUGUGGAGCAGAGUGGACUCAUGAUCAUGGUGGCUGUCAGGGCAACUGAGAAGACAAAAGUAUAGAAUGUAGAUAUGACAAGGAUAACAUAAGAAUGAGAAACAGCAGUUAGUGAUUUUGUGUUUCUUUUUUCAAUAAUUGGAAGUCACUCUUAGCAGUCAGAUGGAAACCAAGAGAACUUGUCCUGAAGUUUGGGUUUUCUGUUAAAUGCUUUGGUACAGAAUUUGUCACUUUCUGAAUGUCGUUUGGCUUUGUUUUGCUGCAAUCUGGAAGUAAUUUUAAAGAAAUUUCUGCAAAAUUGAGCACUCUUUUAAGUUACCAGAUUACUUUCAACAAGUGGAAUCCACACGUCUUGGAUUCAUUUUUCCUUGAUUUGAAAUAAAAGCAAAAAGGCUAAGAAAAUUCUACAUAGAGAAGGAACAAUUAGAGUCAAAUUAAUGUCAAGGUUACUGGAUUUAGGGUCAUUUCAGAGCUUAGCAUGAACCCUGGCUUGGACCUACAUCCAAUUGAAUUUUCUUGCUGAUGUCUCAUUAACAUAAACUAGAUUUUAGUUUUCACCCAAUCAUCCAUAAAACAAAAUAAAUAAGGUAGAUUUUUCCAAACCUAACCAAUCCAUAUUCCACAUGAAUUAUGUCGAUAUGAUAGCAACCCAUUUAUUAUUGAACCCAAAAAAAAAAUAGCAACUCUCACAAUAUAUUUGAUGCAUUGUAAUGAAAUAAAGUAAAAAUGGAAUAGCUAUUUGAUAAAAAUGAAAUACAAAAGUGAUAAAAGGACUAAAUAAUUUGGUUGACUUAGUGAAAUAAAUAAAUGAUUAUAUAUAUAAUGGAUUAAAUAUUUUUAAAGAAUAGGUAAGUAAUAAGUAUAAUAUUAUAAUAUUAUCCUCUUUAAAUAAAUUAUAUUUAUCCAAAAAUAAAAGGAGGAGUUGAAUUGGUAUUUUAAAAUUUUAACAAAUUUUUCUUAAAUUAAGGAAUCUAAAUAAAGAAAAGCUUAGGCAAUUAAUUUAGUGAUUCAACCCCGAUUACUUGCCUCCACUAUCUUUUUAUACCUUAACCAAAUAUUUCUCAAUUUAUUAUAUUUAAAUUAAUAGCUUUUAAGAAAAAUGUACAACCUUUCCAAUCUCUAUCAUUUCACAAGGCUAAAUUUUUAUGGCUCAACUAUUCUUUACAAUUCUGUUACGGUUUUCUACCCAAAAAACUUAAGUAUACUCAUUUUAAUUUUAAUGAGAAAAUAUGUAAACCAUAAAUAGCUCUCAAAGAUAUGUGCUUACAAAUGUUAGCUCAUUUAAACAAUAAAAGUUAGAACGAUAAAAGAUAUUACAAUAAAUACCUAAAAGACAAUGUACAAAAAAUUAUGAAAAAUGAAUAUCUAAAGUGAAUUCUCUUGAUUUCAAUACUAGGAUGCGUCUCAAUAAUAUCUUAAGUAUUUUUAACUUGUAUUUAUAUUCCCUACAUUUAUACAUGCAAAAGGAAGUUACUAACCGUUUGGAGCAUUUGAAAAAUAAUUUAAAAUUAUUUUACUUCACUAAAACUUUAGAAAUUCAAUUUUCAUAGCUUAUAAGCAAUGUUUCUCCUUUUUUGGUAUAUAAAAAAAAUUAGUAAUAUGAAAAAGUCAACAAUACCGAUUGAAUAAACAUUUGAAAUCAAGAGUCGGAUAUUCCGUAAACAUUCAAUGAUAUAUGACAAAAAUAAACAUCAUGCAAGAACCGCCCAACAAAAAAUAACGCGGCAACAAGGCAUCAAAAUAUCCAACAAAAAGAGCCAUGCAAAUCGAAAAUAUGUGACAAAAGCCUAAUAUCGACAAGAAUAAUAUCCAAUAUAAACGAAGGUCAUAAAAGUGAAUCAAAACAAGGAAAGAGAGCAAUUCUAAACAGAAUCAACAAGUCAGCCACAAAAUCCACAUCUAAAACAACCACUAAUCGUCUGAUGAAGGCGGAGGAGGGAAACGUGACACUAUUUGAGCCAUUUGAUCCUCCAAAUAAAAAAUCCGAGGCAUUAAGGCAUCGAAACGAGCAUCUACAUGCUGGGAAAGACCAUGAAUGGCAUCAAGGAUGGCCGAAGUGCGAGGUGACGGUGGUGGAGGUAAGGCAAGUACCUCCUCCUCGGGUUGUACUUCUUGUGAUUGUUGUGCCGCUGCCGCCUGUAGUUUGUCUUUAUGAACCCAUUUACCAUCCUCCUUACAGUAGCCACAACUAUGAACAGAGGAAACAUCGAUGAAGCUAUUGAUGGCUCGACCCGGAUCAACAGACACCUUGAGUUUAAGUUGGCGAAAGAUGAAAGAGAGAAAGGUCCCAUACUUAAGGGUUUUGUUGCUAGAGAGGGGCCAACGAACAACCUCAAUCAUGUUAAGGAACAUGAGGACCGGGAGGUUAAGAUGAUGCUUAGUUUGAAAACAAUGAAUGAACCAAUAAUCGGUUUUGCGCAAGAUCGUAUGCUUGUUUGUAGGAUUAAUGGUCCAAGUGAGGAUGAGAUGAAGGAUCCGAUCAUGUAAUUCUAAAUCACUAGCAUGAUCAUCUUUAAGGAUUAAGGUCGAAGGGAAAGAACCUAAAAAAGUCGGAUCACCAUCGAGAGGAAUCCUAAGGUAUUGAGACAAAAUGGCAGGGGUAAUGGUUACUUUCUCACCCAUGACAUACGAAGUGAUUGCAGUAACAGUUUUACCAUCAUCACCGUAUUUGAAUUCGGCGUUAAAGUAAAAGACUCGGACGAGGUUGUCAUGACAAGUGCCAGUAAGUUGGAGGCAAUAAAGCCAACCCCAUUCGUUCAAGGUGGGAAGGUGUCGAAAAUCGAGUUCAUCGCGAAGAAAGGGAAGGUCAAUAGGGCGAGAAAUAUGGACAUUUCGAGUAGCAAAGGAAGUCUUGAAUUUAUUAAGAUCGUCAUGACUGCGGAAGCAAUCAGAUCCGGACGAUGGAUAAACCGCACUAGAUGACGCAUCAUCCGUCCUAGCCCUCUUCUUAGUAGCUCUAUUAUAGGAGGUAUGAGGAGGCAUGGUAAACAAUUUUUUGUACGAGUAAGGGAAGAGUAAGUGUGCCAGGUGAAGACUAAGGAGUACUAAAAAACGAACCAAGACAACAUAAGAAGGAUAGAAGAAAACCUGCGAAAACAAGCACAAUCAAUCGAUACUUCAAAAGCAGCAGCCUAAUGUAACAGUAUACAAAAUCUUUAAUAUUUUUUUAAUUUAUACACAUAUUAUAUAUGAGUGAAUAUGAAUUAUAGAAAUAUAAGUUUUUAACUCAUAUAUACAAAUAUACGUAACAAAAAAUGGAAAUCGAAGAAAAUGAAUAAAAAAAUAAGAAUAAAUAAUAAUGUGAUGGUUCCAAAAUAAAAAUAAAAAAAUCCAAACAUACUAGACACGAAAAUAUUUUAUAUAGAAUUACCACUAAUCAUUUUAGAUUAAAUGUGAUUAGACACUUAUUGAACAUAUGGAUAAAAAUUAGCACCCUGCAACCCCUGUUCUAAUGGACAAUACCACAUUAGUAGUGUCUAAAAUUUUGAUUAUUAUUCUAAGUUAUUCUUAUCUAAUUUGACUAUAAUUACUUAAAUUAAUUUUAAAGAAAUUCACAUACUUCAUUUUUUUUUAAAUUUUUUAAGAGAUACGUCUCAACCAUUUACAAGAUACCUUUUCCGAGACUUAAAAUGUUUGAAAAUGAUUUUGGAAAAAAAAUAACUUAUUCAUGAAAUAAUUUUUUUUAAAUAAUCUGAAAAUACUUUGAUUGUUAGUUUAGGAAUAAACUCAAAACUUUUGGGGCGAAAAACUCUUUGUUUAUUAUUAAUUUUAAAGGAAAAUAAGCCUUAGUCAAUUGUGAGACACAACUCGAUGAAUUUUUCAAUUUACAAAAACAUAAAUAUCACUUUUAUUAAUUUAAUAAAAUGGUUCAAUUGACAUUUUUUUUAAAAUAUACCCCAAUCAUUUGCAAGGUACGAAUUAAGAAAACGACCCUCCACGAUUCCGAGAAAUCUUAUAUAUAUAGAUAUAUAUUUACUUUUAAAAGAAACUCGGCUUCAACCACUUGCAGUAACACCAUGGAUCGGUCAACCAUUUGCAAUCCAUCAAAAUUUAAAAAACAUGAGGUUCAAAUUGAAUCUGAAUUGAAAUCACAAACGUAGGGAUUAAAUUGAACAAUAUAAGAACCGAAUUAAAAAAUAACCAGACAACGAAGAACCUAAACUGACAAUUAUCCAAAAUUCUAAAAAUCUAUUCCCCCAACAAUCUGAACGGCAAAAAAGAAGGUAGUAGAUUUCCCGCUUGUUUUAAUGAAAUAAUAAACAGGUCAUCUAUGUAGUACGAAUUAACCAACCGACCCUUUGAGGUUUCAAAAUAGUAAAUUUUAUCUUAUUUUAUUUCAAGCACAUUUUUUUUUAAAAAAAUUUGAAUUCAUUAUUAUUAAAGAAAAACGACGUCGGUCUUUGGGGUUACAAUUAAAAAGAGUCAACCGUUUGUGGCCCCAUAACAAUAUGUCUAAUAUAUAACACUAAAAAUUUAUUCCUAGAACAUAUUCGCAAAUUAAUUAUCACUCAAUAUUCAAUAAUAUAAAAACUUAAAAUAACUCAGGGAUCAAUUGAAAUAGGACUGAGACUUCAUGCACAGAGACUAAAUUGAAGCAGACAAAAAACCUGAUUACAAACACGUCAAAUGGCGAAGGACUAGAAUAAGAAUUUUCCCCGAAGCCCAAAAAUAUCUAACACAUGAGCGGGAAAUUUCCCACUUGACGCGGUGAGAGGAUAAAAUAAAAAUAAAAAACUUUAUUUAUUUUAAUUCUGUUCCUUUUUACUUUCUUCUUUCUAAACCUAAAACCCUUCUUUCCCUUCUCCCAACUCUCCCUUUUUUUUUUUUGCUCUCCCAUGGCUUCCUCUUUUACCCACCAUUUUUAUUAUUAUAUAUUUUACCUAUUUAAAUCUCUACAAACACUUAUGAUUUCUGUUUUAUCUUUUUUUGUGUGUGUUAUUUAUUAUGGAGAUUUCAUUGCCUUCUCAGCUUGAUGAUUUCGAAAUCAUAUGAAACACUGUAUCAUCGAAGGCUCUUCUCCGAUUUCCGGAGUUUCAACAGUCUUUUUUUAAAAUCUGGGUUUAUUCACGAACUAGUAGCGUGCAUGCGAAUAGAAUAAUAAAAAUUAGGGGGAAAAUAAAGAAAAAGAAGGAAAAAAACUACCUCCGGGUAAUGGUAUUUUGGAUUUCAAGUUUUGCCUGUAACAUGUGUUGUGAUUUCUCUGAUUCACCCCCUACAGUGCUCCAUUAGGAGAUUAGAUGUUCCGGAAUUACUUGUUUAGCUUGUCAUUGAUUUCCGACUGUAUUCUGCUUCCAGGCACAGACGCUUUGGUCACAUCCUUGACCGCUCCCUUUUUUGCUUGGCGAUUGUUUCUUGACAAUAAAAAAAUAAAAAAAAUUACAAAAUCAUCAUCUCGAUGAAUCAAUAAAGAUAAAAGAAAACACAUUAAAAUCAAGGCCAUAGAAGAAAUUAGAGAAGUACUACACAUAUGAGAAAUUCCAGAAAUUGUUUUCCAAAAAGAAAGUAGUAGGGCAGACUAACCUUACUUGGAGGAGCAAGAUAAUGAGAAUGUUUUCUCGCAUCAGCUUCGUAUAAGCCUUCAGAAGGAACAUCAGAUUAGAUUCUCUCGAUCAAACGAAUCAAAUCAACUUGUCCAGGACAUUCAAAGUACCAAGUUAUAUCUAAAAGGGAAAAAUAGAUACUUCAAAAACAUAACUAUAUAUACCUAUAAGUGAAAAACGGUGCUACUAUAAGGGAAAAAUAGUGCUUGUGCUUCAAGUCUUCAAAGUCAAAGCUACAUAGUAAUAAUUUGAAUUUUAUAAAUUUGAUUAAGGGAGUGUUUGGAUAUAUUUUAUUAUAGCAAAAUAUUUGCAAAUCAAGGUUAAUAAUAUUUUAAAAAAAUAAAAUCAUAAUAUAAAAUGAAAUUAAUAAAAAUAAUAUCUAAAAAUACUUUAUAAAAAUUAUAAUUAACUUUAGUAUAAAUUAUGUUAUUCAUAAUAUUUAAGUAUAAAGCACCGAUUUAAUAUAUAAAAUAAAUAAUGUUUUGUCAUUUUAAAAUAUUCUUUUAUUUCAUAUCAUAAUUUAUACCUUGACAUAUUGUAUUUAAAAAACGUAUAAAAUAUUUAAAAAUUGAUUUUUCUCUCUCAUUAUAAAUCCUUAAAUAUGUUCACUCUUCUCCCAUACCUCCCUCAAUCACUCUCUCCAAUGCCUCCUUGUUUAUUGAGAAAAUAAAAAGUCUCAUCCGACUCUAACUAAUCACAUUAAUAUUUUGGGUAAACUUCACCAUUAAUUAUUAAACUAUACAUAUGUUUUCAUUUUAGUUACUUAACUAAAAAAAGUUUACAAUUUGGUUACUAAACUAUUCAAAAGUUUUCAUUUAAGUCACUAAGCUGUUAAAAUCGAUGCUAUAUGACUUUCUCUGUUCACAUUGUCUGUAUCAAUCGGAAACUUUCUUUCUCCUUCUCUUCUACAACUCAAAAUAUUUUCAUGAAACAACUUUAGAUGUCACAAAUUUACAAACAAAAUUCAAAAAACAAAAAUUUUCGGCCUCCAACACUAACAGUCAUAUCGACUUUGAGCUAAGGUAUGUUUUUUUACUUAUCAAUGGGUAUUGAUUUAUCGUAUCGAUUGUUGAAUCACUGCUUGAAACUCGCUAGCGAAACUUUAAAAAAAAACUUAAUAGCCCAGUGAAUUAAAUAAAAUUUUUUUAAUAGUUCAGUGACUUAAAUGAAAACUUUCGAAUAGAUUAGUGACCAAAUUUUAACCUUUUAAUUAAGUGACCAAAACGAAAACUUAUCCAUAAUUUAGUAACUAAUGGUGAAAUUUACCCUAAUUUUUUCUCUCCUAUAUUAUUUUUUUUCAUAAUUUGUUUCGUCUUUCUUCUCCUUCACCUUUACAACUCAUUCUAUUUUAUUUUCUUGAAUUUUAAGAAAUGAAAACCGGUUUCCGAUGAAAGAGUGAUGAGCAUGGUUGUCAACCGCCGACCACUACUGUCCAAAAACUUCUUUUAACUCCAGAAAUUCACCUCAUAUAAUAUUUUGCCUUCUCUAUUUGAUUUUCCUUUCAGUUUUUCCGAAAUCUUCUUCUAAAAGAAUAAAUAAAACAAAAACUCCACUUAAAAGAACUUCAAAAAUCUAAAAAAAAUUUCACUUUUUGAGAUGUCCAAAUUUUGUUAUGCUUGUACUAUUUGCCAACUAUUAUGAUUUUUUGAAAUUUGAAGGAAUAAAAAUCUUUCCCAUGAGUUGUUCGUUGGGAUGAUGUCUCCGAAUCCACGCGCGCUUGUAAUAUCUACUCUUGGGUUUCCCCAAACAAUGGCUAUUACCGGCAAAGGGGUAAUAAGGCGGAAAUAAGCUAUUCUAUGGAAAUAAUUCACUAAAACUGUUGACUAUUCUUAAAAGAAAAUAUUUCAUUGGUAUAUAAUUUAAUAAAAUUAAAGGAGAUGUGUUAUAGCUUAUAGUAUAUUAGAAAUUAAAUUCAAAUAAAAAUACAUUAAAGAAAUAAUAUCGAUAAAAAAUUACUAAGCGGAAAAACACAAAUUGGUGUGUUGAAUUGGACAUAAACAAUUUUAUUCCUCUCAGAUACCUGCAAAACGUAAACAAAAAAACUAAGGCUUGAGUAAUUGAGAAAACAGGCAUCUUUAUCGACUCACGAAACUUUCCCUCAUGAGAGGAGUCAAGGGUCAAACCCCCUUCGUCGUGCCGGAAAAGGUUACAUUCGGCUUUGGCUAACAAUGGUUGAGGUUGUCCCAGACCCGGUCCUUUCAUAACACAAUGUCAUUUGAGUUGAGUAAUUAUACUUUAGCCGUUUGAGUUUCGAAAAGGUGGGUGAGAAGGAGAGUCACAUAACUGUAACUUGUCUGUUUGUGGCGCCAAAUGUUCCAAAAACUUUUCCUACCUAUCCAUUAAUAAAAAGAACCACAUAACCCAAAACAACGGUUUAUAGUACCCAAGCUCCAAAUGGCUCUCUUCAGACUGCCUUAUUCUUUCCCUUCCACUCUCCCAUCAUUCUUUCCAAAGAUACUCUUGCCAGUUCCCUCCUUUUCAAUUUCUUGUUCUUCAAAAUCCACUCCCAAUCAACUCAAAAACAACGAUGAUAACAGCAAUACUGAUAAUCCCAAGAAAUCCAAGAGACUAUCAGAGCAAUCUUCCUGGGAAGCCAAAGAUUCAGAAGGGAGAGAUUAUCUAUACAGGCUUGGCAAAGAGGCUGAUAACAUGAACAUAGCUGUUGGUGCUAGGGCUGGUGUGAUUGAUGAUCUUUUCACUGGGAAUUUUCUUGGCAAAGACUGUAAUUUUCUUCCCUUCGCUCUUCCUUCUUAUAUUUAACUUAAGACAAACCGUUUAAAGAAAUGAAAUUGAAUAUCUUUUCUUUUCUUUUCUUUUUUUAUCUGUAGCGGAUAUUGUGUUUGAUUACAGGCAGAAGGCGACGAGGUCCUUUGAGUAUCUACAAGGGGAUUAUUACAUUGCUCCCGUAUUCUUGGUAAAAUUUCCAGGCUAACAAUUUCCUUUUGCAGUUCUUUUGGAAAAGUUGAGUUAAAAGGUGGCUUUUAUGAUUCAGGCUGAUGAUAGGUUUGAACUAGAAUGUGAUUAGCUUUACAGGGUCUUGUUUAUCUUUAUCAAAUAUUCACCUCUGCUGUGAUUAGCAUAUAAUAAUAAAAUAAUAAUUUUCAGUUCAACUUUACUAUCUUGUUUGAACUUAGAUUUUCAUUGUCUAGUUCUUAAUUUUGCUUUAAAUUCAAUUGCAGUUAACAUAUAUACACUAUCUUUUUUUCUGCUGUUAUCUAUAGAGACAGCAAGUUGUUAUUGUAUUUCCUUUCUUCUUCUUAUGUGUUUAUUAUUUGUCAGAAGCUAACACUGCAUUAUGUUUGCUUUUCUCAUUGUCAGGAUAAAGUUGGUAAGUUUUACGGAACUGCACAAAGAUGAGAAGACUGCUAUGAAUGAUACAGGAAAAUUAGGAAAUCUGGCAGAAAUUAGUGACUGGAGCAUUCCUUCAAUUUUCUGUUUUUUGGAAUAUCCAUGGAGUUUAAGAUUAUUUUGUUUCUAUUAAAUGCUUUAAUAAUGAGGAGAAAUCCGAUAUAUUACUGUCGAUACUAUUAUCCAUCACCCUUUACCAUUCCACGAUAUUAUCAUCUCUGAUGUGUGAUCUUCCACUUGCCAACCUUCUCUGAUUUUCCAACUUGAUGCUGAGCCUGUCAUAUAGUUAUUAUUUGUCUUCUUGAAAUAAUCCUAUCAUUUUGGAACUUAUGAAAUAAUCCUAUCAUUUGUCUUCUUGAAUGAUGACUUGUAUUUUUUUCCUGUUUUACUUGCUGCAGCAUGCCACAUCGUGAAGAACUACCUUGCUCAUCUUCUCAACGUGAAAAUUCCUUUGAUUCUAGGUUAUAUAUUUGAAAUAGUCAAGUGAAUUUUUUUUUUUCUACUUUGAUUGGGAAGGAAUGAGGGGAUGUUUAAAAGCUUAGACAUACUUGUUUUUUACUUUUGUGGGUGGAUCGGUUUAUAUAUGGGAGUGUUAAGUAUAAAUUCCAUACUUCUCAUUGUUAUAUUUGUCCUUAACGGUUUGGGUCUUAGGACUGCUCACAACAAUCUUGAAUCCUUUAUGAUGGUUUCAACAGCUAUGCUGGAAACAACAUUUCACUGCAUUAAAUAUCUUAUGGACUGCAGAUUCUUUUUCUGGCAUUUCUCGCAAAACCAAUGUAGUAUAUAGCUUGAAUUCUCAUUUAUUUUAUUUCUGAAACAUUGGAUUUUGACUUGAAGGUGUCUGGGGAGGAAAAGGUCAAGGAAAAACAUUCCAAACUGAACUCAUUUUUCAGGCUAUGGGGAUUGAACCUGUAAUUAUGUCUGCCGGGGAACUAGAAUCUGAUAGGGCUGGUAAGAUUGGUAUCCACCGUUUUUCCUUCCUUGCCAUUUGUUUGCAAGAAUAUAAGGAGAUUCGAUCCAUUCAGUUAUUAUUACCUUUUUAUGUGAAAAGACAUGAUUUAUUCACAUUGUUGUUCCCUUGACAGGAGAACCAGGAAAAUUGAUACGCGAACGCUAUAGAACAGCUUCCCAAGUGGUCCAGAACCAAGUUAGAAGCUUUACCACCCUCAUUCUUCGUAUAUGUAUGUCUAGGUUUAUGAAGUUUAAUAAUGCUCUUUAAUACCAAUGGUAAAAUCUGCAUGUCAUAUUAGCCUUUGCAUAGGGAUAUACUGAUAUUCAAUGUGUCAACAAACGGAUUAUUCCUCCUCCUCCAACAUCUAUUUCAAGUAUAUUGCGGUCCUCUUACAAUGAUAAGAUGAAAUAUUCAACCAUGAUAAUGGUGUAAAAGAGCAGAAGAGAGUUGAGAAAAAUCCGAGUACAAGAAGAGAUAGUGAGAGAGCAUUUUUGCCACUUUGACUCAAAGCCUUCGCAAAUGCUUGAACUCCUCAAAAUCCUGUGAAUAAUCUACCAAAUAAGAUGAAAAUGAUCAGUUGAGAUGUUGAAUUCUAUUUCCGCCUAGAGGAGAGCUGGACAAAAUAAAUGCCCUAAUGUUCCAAAAUAGCACGAGCACAUUCAACUCUGUACGACCUUUCGAUCAAGAAAGCGGUGAAGCUUUUUCGUCUGAGUUUCUAUUUCCAUCUCCGAUUUUAAGUUCAUCAGUGCCUGACAGAGAUUGUAAUGGAAAGGCUAAAGUCGUUCCCUUGCCUUAGAAAGUCAGAACUAUGGCAAACAUAUUAGCAUGAAAAUAGAACAAUUAUGACCAUAAUAAUAUCCGGAGCUUUCAGUAUAAAUAUUUACAGAUACUCAGUAUGCUGAUGUAUGUUCCACAUCAUUGUUAAUGACUUUCUGCAAUGUUCUUAAUUGCACGUUUGUUUGAAUUUUCUGAACUAAUGCAGGGCAAGAUGAGUUGUCUGAUGAUCAAUGACAUUGAUGCUGGUCUUGGUAGAUUUGGUGAGCUUAUGUUUUACUGGAACAGAAAACCUUGAACUGUACCAAUUAUGCUUUAAGUUUCAUAAAUUUCCUCUUGUUUAAUAAGUUUUAAAAAGUUACUUAUGUACUGAUUCUUUAUCUUGAACUUUAUAUAUUUUUCACAUCUUAUCUAGGUAAUACUCAAAUGACGGUCAACAAUCAGAUUGUUGUUGGUACCUUAAUGAAUUUGUCAGAUAAUCCAACCAGAGUUAGCAUCGGACAAGAUUGGCGAGAAUCAGAUAUAACAAAUAGAGUCCCUAUCAUUGUCACGGGGAAUGAUUUUUCAACCAUUUAUGCUCCCUUGAUCCGUGAUGGAAGGAUGGAAAAGUUCUACUGGUACAUGAUACUAAAGCUCCACACUUUUUUACUUCCCUUGUGGUGCUUUGUUGAUACAAUACAAUAAAAUGGUCUUGUGGUGGUUCAAAGAAAGAAAUCAAGCUAUUCCAUUAUUAUCUAACACAUCAUUUGUGAUACAGGCAGCCUACUAAGGAAGAUAUUCUGAACAUUGUUCACAGAAUGUAUGAGAAAGAUGGCAUAUCUAAGGACGAGGUCGUAAGUAUUGUGGAAACAUUUCCCAAUCAAGGUAUAUUCAGAUCCUGCAUGAUCUCCAUGAUUAGAUUUUCUCUGUCACUUCUAUAGCAAAUAUGUAGAGGGAAAAACAAUGACUAUAUCAUGGAGUGCAUAUUGAUUUGUUUUUCCUCUUUGGUUUUGGACAGCCUUAGAUUUUUAUGGAGCUCUUAGAUCUCGAACAUACGACCGGUCGAUUUCAAAGGUAUGUUAACUCUUCAUUUAGGUGUUCUCAAGUUAGGUGUGGAUUUUCUUUCUUAAGUGAUCGUCAUACCUAACAUGGUGCAAUAUUGUUGCUUUUACCUUGCUAGUUAGUGAUUAUUAGUUUCACCAUGUUAGGAAGGUAUCUAAAAUGUCCAUACCUGUUUUAUACCGUCAUUUGGACACUUAUUUUUUUUCGUCGGUUCAAAGAAAACAAGUAAAUAUAAUGUAUUUUCAUCAUCUUACUCCUUCCUUAUUACAGUGGAUUGAAGAUAUUGGAGGAAUUGAAAUUCUUGGAAACAAACUUCUCAGACGGAAGAAGAAUGAAGAACUCCCCGUAUAUACUCCCCCGCAGGUAGUAUGAUGAUCAUAAACUUUCUUUUAGAGGCGCAAAUUCAUAUGCUGUUAGUUAAGUUUUCAAGGAAAAUUGGUUAAUGACUAGUGCGUGAUCAUUUUUCAUAGAAUAACUACCGAAAACAACAUACAGAAGCCAAUAGAACUUCAAAAAUACUACAUCUUCUAUCAGGUGAUGAACAAAUCAAAACAUGGUGGAAUUCCCUUUCCAGUCUUUGCCCCGCCACUGGCUUUUUGAUUGUUAGUUUAUAUAAACAUCUUGAUAUGACCCCCCCCCCCUUUUUUUUCCUUUCUGAAAGAUGGUUUUUAGUAAGUUGAAGCUCGCAAGAGAAGUGAAUGUAGUUUUUUUUGUGUGUUAUUUGACUGGAAGUGGGGAUAUUUCAUUGAACAGCAAACGGUGGAGGCUUUACUUGAAUCAGGGUAUUCUCUCCUGAGGGAGCAACAGCUAAUAAUGGACACUAAACUUUCAAAGCAGUACAUGAAGAACAUUGAUGACUAACUCUGAUUCGAUACCAUGUGUUCUCAAUAUUAUUAAUAUUUUUAAUUUGUGGAUUACUCUCUUUUCUCUUCUGGUGGUUGAUGUGUAUUUCACUUUUUUAUACUAUUUAUAUUUAUCUAAUUCGAUUAUUUUUUUUUAAAUCAACCGUUAUAUAUGAAAAAUAUUGUUAAAUUUAAUUAUGGAUUUUGGUUUUCUUUUUUCUCCUCUUCAAAAUAAUAGGAUUAGAGAUGGAAUGGAGUAGGUUUGGGUCGGGACAAAGUGAGAGGUAUAAAAGUAGAGGUCAAGUUAGGAUUGGGGCAAGCAGAAAAAGAUCUCUCGUACUAUUGUCAUUUCUAAUCUUAUUAUUCUAAAGACAGGACAGUAGAAAGAUUUUAUUUAAAAUUUUUGUCCCUAGACUAUCUAAUCUCAAAAUAGCUAUUUUAGUUUUGUCAAAAAUAAAAUUAACAUUUCAGUCAUUGUGUCAUUAUCUGUUGUUAGAGGUGUAACGGGAAUUGAAUCACACAUGGCAUAAUUAUAUGCAAUUUCCGUUACACCUCUUAUAACAUAUAAUAACAUAGUGAUUAAAAUAUUAUAAGAUGAUAACGUUAUUUGUCAAAUGUAACAAAUCAAAGUUCAUAGAUCAAAAUAUAAACUUAACUAAACUAGUUAUUUUUGUAGUUUACCCAAAAAGUUAUAGAUUUAAACCACAAUUUUUUUUACUUAUUUUAUUCAAAUAAAUAAGAUGUAAUAAUGAUAAUUUAUGUAAUUUCAUAUUAUUUUGAGAGUAUUUAUAUUUUUUAUAUUUCAAUAAAUUCACAAUAUGAAAAUUAUAAGAUUUGAACUCAUUAUAUAUAUAUAUAAUUUUUAAAGUUUUAGUAUUUCAACUGAAGCUAUAUUUAAUUUCUAUAUUAAAUUUUUAUAAAUUAAUUAUAUAAAAAUUUCACCCACGUGUAUUAAUAUCGAUAAUUUUUUCUAUGUUUGAGGAUGUGAUUUCCUUGGAAUAAAAACUUAUUUAAACUUUAACAAUAACAUUUAAGUUAGCUUUCAUUCCUUAAUUAUGACUAUGAUUAAGAUGUUUAUGUUCUUCAAAGGCAAAAUAGCUUAAUUAGUACGAUAUUGACAAUGGAGUGACAUUCAUUUUCCAUCAAGUAAUGUCAGGGCUAAGAACAAUUAAAUCGGGAAUCCGAUGCUUUGUUUCUUAAACACCCCUAAAACAUUCCUAUUUCACUUUAAAGCCUUUGGGCUACCCAAUAAUAAUCAAGAAGAAGAAAAAAUUGUCGAACUUUUCUCGUCAACUGGGACAAUAUUCCUACAGCUUCUAGUGAUGGUUUAUGGGGAAAUUCUUUUGAGUUGAAAAGAGAAGUAAAACUUAGUUGACUUGACACUGCUUAAUAGAAGAAAGUAAAGGCGCUAAUCUUGGUUCUUAUAUUGUCUUCAUUCGUCAAAAUAAUUUUUUUAACACACACACACACACACAAAAGAAAAAGGAUUCUUUAUUUCUUUGUUUAUCAGAUAACUCCCAUCUUUUAUACCUUACAACUCAUAUGUUAAAGCUUUGAGUUCCAAUUAUUUUAGACUACUUUAUGGUGGGCAAAUGUUUGAUGCUUGCUUGGCAUGUUAGAUUCGGUUUUAUCUCUUUCAAUUUACAAUAUGAUUGGUUGUUCAUUUUUAUACCUUCUCUAAUACGCAAAGCAAAGGAGCCAUAUCUUGAUGCUACUACUAACUUUUCAUUUUUCAAUGAAUGGAAUCUACCCUUCUUUUUAAGUUAUUUAUUUUCGUAAAUGGAAUUUUAAAAAUUGCUACAUUAUUUAUUUAUUUAUAAUAUAUUGGGGAUAAUAUUAUUUUUAUUGUGGUCAGACUGCUUUCACUCAUUGUCUUUAAGUUUUAGGUGACAUUAUUAAAUCCAAGAAUACUUCCAAUAGAAAGCAACAUUGGUAAUUUACGAUUUGACUCUAUUUGCAAAACUUGAUGUGCAUUUUGAUGAGUGCUACUCUUUGUCAUAUCCUUCCAUUCAUGUUGGCCUUUCAGCUUUGACUUUCAUUGGAUCAAGUUUUUUCUAAUCUUCCAAUUUGUUUAUGGAAUUAUGAAAUAUAUUUACGUCUUCUAUAUGGUCAUCAAGUUUACUAUUCGACCUAAUGUUGAUAGUAUUUUUAAUUUUUAUUAAGUGUAUGGUAGUUUUAUUCUACCUUUCAAUUUAUCUAUCACUUCAUUCUUGUUUAAAUUAAAUUUUAGUGUGAAUUAUAAAAAUAAUCACUUUUGUUUGUUUCAAAUUAUAUUUUAGUUAUUUAUGUUUGAAAUGUUACGUUUUAGUCAUUUAAGUUAUCGUUUUGUUACGAAGUAGUCGCUUUGCCGUUAAGCUCCGUUGCCUCCCUAACGGCAUUCCUACGUAGUAGUCCAAAUAGAUUUUAAAUGCCAACUUGAAUGUCCAACUGGGAAAAAAAUAAUUUUUUCAGUCAAAAUGAAAAAGAAAAUCUAAAAGAAAAAGGAGAUGACUGAUUUUUCUUUUCCAAUUCAAAGUGUAAUUAAUUUUUAAAAAAAUUAAUUAAUUAAAUUUAUUUAAUUAGAAAUCUAUUCUCGUCCCAAUUGGAUAUUUAAAAUCCAUUUGGACUGUCGUUAGGGAGCUAAUGGAGUUUAACGAUAAAGUACCACUUUAUAACAAAAAGAUAACAUAAGUAAUUAAAAUAUAAUCUGAAACAGAUAAAAAUAACUAUUUUUAUAGUUUAUCCUAAAUUUUAUUACUGACAAAAAAUUUGGCUCAAAUUUUGACAAUCCUUUCCCUACUUCUAAUUGAAAGAAAAAUGCAAUAUAUAUAACAUAAAAUAUAAUUCAGUAUUUAAAUUUCCACAUUUACAAAUUUUCCUACUAUUUCUUUAAAAAUAAAUGAUAACAUUGUAUUUAAAAAAAAAGAAAAGAAAAAACUUCGAAAGAUAUGCUUGUCUUCAAUGGUGAGUGAUUGCAAUUGUACAUUCAAUAUUUUUUUAAGUACGAAUUAAUCAUAUCAAGAUUGAAAACAUGAACCUCCAAAUGAAAUCACCUUAUAAUCAUUACAAACAGGAAAACUAAUGUCUUGAAUUUUAUAAUAUUAUAGCAUAUAAUUUUAGUAUACUCUUAUUAUUUUAAUGAAUUGCUAUUAUUCAACUUGUCAAUUCAGCUCAACAUUUUAUUACUAUUAUAAAUUAUAUUUUUUUAUAGAAUAAAUAAAUCAUAUAUUAACUAUCUUUAAAAGGUUACUUUAUUCUAAAAGCACUCCAUAACAAUAACCUAUUCUUCAUUCCUUUUUUUUUUUAAUAUUAUACGUGUAUAUAUGUAUAUGGAAGAAAAAGUGUUGAGAUCACUAAGCAAAACCCCCCAAAAAGGGGUGAGAUGUGAUUAGGCACAAAGACGACAAUGAAAUAUGGGUUUGCAAAUUGGUUAGGGUUGCAUUAGGUAUGAAGAGCCUUCCAUGCUUUAUGAAGUGUUUAAAAGUGACCCACCAUUUUUUUUUUGUUUUUUUUUUUUUCAAUUUUAGUUGAAGUUGACGAAACCCGCACAUUGAUUUAUACUAUAUUGCCUUCCUUAAGUGAAAACGAAGUUCUACUUUUCAAUAUUGCAUUUAAUUUACAAGCCAAAUUAUUGGAACAAUUAAUUGGUGUGUCUUUAUCAUUUAUUAAGGCAAUGGGAUGUGGAUUUAUGUUUAUUAUGUCAAAUUCGAUAUUGAUUUUUUUUUAAAAGAAAAAUUCAUAUUAGAUUAAAACAUCAAAAACAAACACAGGGUAAAAAUUCAAAAUUGAAUCUGAACCAAUAGACUCACCCCCAAACCCCACACCUGUAUGAUCCAUUGGCUCCAGUAGAACCCAUCAAAAGAUUAUCUGAAAUAAGAAUGUUUAAAAUACAAUUAAAAACCUUGUUCGACGCAAAGUAGUCAGCAAGUAACAGAGCCACCCGAGCAAAGCUAUAAGCUGCUCUAUUUGCUAUCCUAUACUUCCAUUAGAAAGACAAAGAAAUAAAAUACUGUCUUGCUUCAAAACAAUUCCGAGCUACUAUACCAAAUCCUAACACGUCAUUUGCCAGAUUAUUGCACACUUCAACAACUUCAGAGCUAUCCAUUGAAGUUAUAUAUUAGCAAUUUAAGGUUCAAAUACUAAUAAUUACCUCCUCCUUUCCUAAUUUUACAAUAUAUUAAAAGAAUUAUAAUGAAUUAAAGGUUAUAGUAAAUUAACAAUGGACAGUUGAUGAUAUUUUAACCUAAAAGUUGGAAACAUUAAGGAAUUUUAGUUCCAACCUUUUUUUUAGUUUAUUUAUAUUUAUUUAUUAUUCGUAAAAAUAGAAAGAGGCAAAAAGAAAAUUGGAGAAUGUAAUUAAAAAAAUCAUUUUUAUGAUGUGUGCAUGUUCACUCAUGUGAUAUCAUAUAUGAUGCAUCAUCAAUCAUUUAUUAGGAAUUAAAUGAAAAUUAUGCAAAUAUUAAUGACUAUAAAAUUGAAUUUUAUAAUUGAACGACUCGUAUAUUUGCCCCACAAAAAAAAUACUAAUAAAAAAUAACCCCCCUCCCCGCCCCCACACAAAAAACUCAAAAAUAUUCAACUUGGUGCUUACCUACCAUCAAGUGUUUUGAUUUAGACAAUGAAAGAUUUGAAUUUAUGUGCAGCUCUAAUACUCUUGAUGUUAAAUUAGCUUUGGAGGAAAUAAAUUAAGUCCAUAAAUAUCAACAUAAUGUGUAGGUUAAUUUUAGAUUUAUUUUACUGAGUGGUCAAAUGUAUUUUACUUAUUCAAAGUUUUAUUAGUAUUAGAUUAUGAUAUAUGUGUGUGAAAAAUAUAAUUAUAUAAUAAAUAUAUUUAUAAAAAAUUAUAUAAAUAAAAUAAAAUUUAGAUUGCACGGUAAAUAUUAAAUGUUGAAAACUAUAAAAAAGUAAUAUGAUAAAAACACUUUUAAAAUAAUGCAUUUUAUUUUGUAAAAUAAAUAUGUUUUUUGUUAUUAACUAAUUGAAUUAAUAUUCGAUUCACUUGUGAUACAUACUCAAUCAAAUACUUAAUAUAUUAUAUAGAUAAAUGAUUAACUUAUCUUUGAAUUAUAAGUUAAAAAAGAGAUAUUUUUCUUAAAAAUUUAAUUAAAUUUUGCAUAACAGAAAUAGUAAAAACAAGAAUAAAAAUUAUUUAUUUAUUUAUUUAUUUAUUUUCAACGAAUAAAUACAUCAUAAUUAAAUUGUUUUUCAUGCUAAUGGUAUCUUGAACUUCAACUAUGAAGAAUAUUUUCUAAUAUAGCUCAAGAAUAAAUAUAAAAUAGAAAUCUAAUUCGUUAAGGUCAAUAAAAAAACAGAAUAAUCUCAAUCAACUUGCCAAGAUGACAAUAAUUAUUCAAAAAAAUCGUAAAUAGAGAUGAAAGGAAGAAAAAACAAAUAUUUUGAUUAAGAUUGUGGGAAAUAAAGAAGCCAGGCCUAGGUGUUAUAGUGAAAUGUAAAGGUGUUUAUAGUUUAGUUAAGUUUUAAUUAAUUGAUCGAAUUGAUUUAAUUUGAUUAAUCAGUCAAUGGUAGAAUUUAGUUGAAUUAGAGAUAAGUUAAAGGUUUUUUAAAGUUCAAAAUCAAAUAAUUAAUUAAAUUACUUAAAUUAACUGAAAUAAUUCCCAAUUAACCAAUUUCCCUUUCUCUUUUUAUUACCGAUAUAGUUUCCAAUCCCCCCUUUUCUCUUUCUCUUUUUAUUUUUUCCUUCUAUCCUUUCUCUAACCUUCAUUUCUUUCCUUCGUCUCUUUCUUAUACCCUUCUCUAACAGUUUGCUUCUUCUGUCAAUUCCAUCAGAUCCUAAAUGAUCACAUUCUCUCUUUCAUUUCUUCCCCAUAAACGUUACAUUGUUUUCUUUCAACCUUUUCUUUUUGACUCACUAUUUCUUUUUAUGGUUUUUCUCCUUUUUUAUUUUCUGGGUAAUUUAAGUUUGGUUUUAAAAUUGCAGGAUGUGGGUUGUUACUUUUGUUGGAAUUCAUUCCAUACCUCUUUCAAGCAACUUGCUUUUUAUUGUUUGGGUUUUUCCAUGCUUUGAUGAUGUUUUCUUUCUUUUUUCCUAAAAAAAUUCCCCCCCUAUUUUCUAUUUACGUCUGUUCUAUCCUUUUUUUUUUUUUUGGUUAACAAGGGAAUGUAGGGCGCGUGGUGAGCUUAAAUUUUGAUUAACUGAGUAAAUUAAUUGAUAAUAUUUCAAUUUAGUUAAUAUGUUUAAAAAAAAUUAAUUUAAUUAACGUUUAUUUCAAUUAAUAAUAGUUUGAUUCAAUUAUUAACCGGACCCUAGUGAAAUGCGCAAAGUCUACAAUCAUGAAUUUACUAAUUGGGUAAAAAGUAAAAAAACCUUCGUCAAAAAUCAGGUCAGACACGUUCAAUCGCCAUAUCCGGUUUCUUAUUAUCUACGUGGCGAACCGCUUGCCGACACUAGCAUUAUUCUAACCAAUAUAAUAUUAAAAUAACAAACUCAAAUUACGUAUUUCUGUCACAUACAAAUUUUAAAAUUUAUUUUGCUUUAAUAAACUUAUUUUUUAUUUCUAAAUUUAAAAAUAAAAUUUAUUUCCUCAAACAGAAUGGAGCCUUAAUUUAAUCAACUAAAACAUUUGUCUAAAAUCUUGGUUUUUUCGAUAUUUAAGUUUAAAAUUUAUCAUUUACAAAUAUAGCUAACUUUCUAUAUAAUAAUUUUAUUUUUUGGUCCAAUUUUACAGAAAAAUAAUUAUUAGAUACCUAUAAUAAUAGGUUAUUAUAGAAAGAUAAUAGCUUACCAUAAGAUUUAUAUAAUGAAUUUCCAUUAAAAUAAAGAUAGUGAAAAUUGUGUUAAAAAAAGAAGAAAAAAGUGAAAAUCAAAUUAACAAAAUUAAAAGAUAGUAUAACAUGUGAGUCUAGUAUUACUUUUAUGAAUAUUUUAUUUUACAUCUUAUCACAUGAUUAAUUAUAAAGUUCAUGAAUUUAACAAGUUUAAGUAAUAAAUAAGUUAUUAAAUUAAUUUAUUUAUCACGAACUAUUAAAUUCAAGUAAUUAAUUUGUAAGUUUAUGAUAUUAUCAAAAAAAAUUGUAAGUUUAUGAUGUUUUCAAAUUUACAAUUUAUUUUUUAAAUAUUAAAGAUAGGUAGUAAAUAUUAAAUUGAAGCAAAGUGAGCGAAGACAGGAAUGAAUGCAACUAGCAUCCAUAGAUAUGAUAGUGUUUUCAAGAUUUUAUAUCCAUAGUGAAGUGGGACAAACGAUAAACUAAAGCGUGACAAUUGUGAGGCAAUAAUAAAUUUAGCAAUAUCUACUCUCGUCCCGUUUUAUCCACAUCCCUAAUUUUAAUUUAAUAAAAUUAAUAUAUAAUAAUUAAAUGAUUCUUAACACAGAGUGAUUAAACGGAUCCUAAAUUUGAUCAUUGAAUAAAGCACCUCAUUUCUUUAAUAGUGAUGAUUUUAAAUUUAAAAUCACUAUUAUUAUUAUUAUUAUUAUUAUACAUUUUGUAAUCGGGAUUGUGAAAUAAUAUGUGGGUAAGACAUAUUUUAAAAAAAUAAUUAUAUUUUGAAAAUAAAUAAAAAAAAGAUAUAAUUUUUCAUGAGAACGGAGUAAAUUUUAUAAUGAGACAUGUAUUUAUUUAGAGAAUAUUCAUGAUGAGAGGAUUAAUCAUUACAAUUGAUGGUAGAUAUCCUGACUACUUACAAAAUAAAUUUUUAUUUAAAUUUAGAUCAAAUUAGUUUUUUAAAAAACAGUUAUGUGUUAUUUGUUGAUUAUUUGUUAAAUACUGUUAAUUUUUUUAUACAAUAUUAAGGGUAAGAAAUGAGGUAACACAAUUUAAAUUUGUACCAAAUUGGUAUUUAAUAAGAAGUUUAAUCAUCUCUCUAUACAAGUCUAUGAAUAUUAAAAAUUUUAAAUAUCAUUUAUUUUUAUUUUAUCAUUUUGGUUUUUUUAUCAUAUAUAAAUAUUAAUCUUUUAGAUUUUAUAGUUGUCACUUCUAAUAAUCCUAAACUCUAUCAUUAAAAAUAUAAUAUGUAUUACUACAACACUAGCUAAUAUUUUAUUGAUUAAUCCUAAUUUAUAUAUCACACAAAUAUAUUUAUUUGACAACUUCUAUAUCAAGUUGUUGUUUCCAUUCUUCUUACUAUUAUAACGACCAAAUUAGAGUUGGUUUUGUCUUGGGUAAAUUAGAUCAUUAGUUAUUAAAUUAUGGUUAAAAUUUUAUUUUAGUCACUUGAUUAAAAUAAGUUAUAAUUUGGUCACUGAAUUAUGUAGAAAAUUUUAUUUAAGUCACAAAACUAUUCAAAUGUUUUUAUUUAAGUUAUUAGGCUGUUAAUUUUUUUUUAAAAAAAAUUUCUCCAAUAAGCUUCAAGUGAUGAUUCGACGACCGAUACGGUGGAUAGCACCCAUAAAACUAGUAGAAGAGCAUAUCUUAGAUCCAAGUCGAUUUGAUGCUCAAUGUUGGAGAUCGGAGAAAAAACUGUUUGAAUUUUGAUUUGCAAAUUCAUGACUUCUAAAAUUGUUUCAUGAAAAAAAAAUGAACUGUAGAAGAGAAAAAGAAAGAGAACUUUUGAUUGGUGCAUAUAUUGGGGAUAGAGAAAGCUAUCUUCAUCGACUUUAAUAACUUAGUAAUUUAAAUAAAAAUUUUUGAAUAAUUCAAUGAUCAAAUUAUAACUUUUUUAGUUUACCAAAACAAAAAUUUACCCAUAGUUAAUGGUGAAGUUUACCCUUUUCUUUUAUGAAAUAUAAAUGAAAACAAUAAAUAAGGCAUAAUGAUAAAUUAAGCUCUUAAUAUUUAUAAUUUUUGUCAAUAUGAUCCCUUUUUUUAGAUAAAUUUCACCAUCAACUUGAAAAAAAAAUCAAAUUUGGCAUUAACCUUAAAAGAAUUGAAUUGUUGUUUUCUUAAUGAAAAUACAAACUAAAAUAUUAAAUCUUUAAACAUGGCAAUUUAUGUGUACUUCAUAUUAUUUUUUUAAAAUUUAUUAACUUUUUAUAUUUCUUUGAAUUUUGAAUUAAUUUUAUUUUUUGUGAAUAUUUUCAUAACUUUUAAAUUAUUUAUUAACGUGACAUAUAAAAUAAAAUAAUGUCAUGUCAGCAUAAAAUACACAUAAAUUAUCAUGCGAGUAGUCAUAUUAAUAUUUGUAAGGUUUUAGUUAGCAUUUUUAUUAAGAUGAUCAAAAUUAACAAAAUAUAUAAAUAUUAAGGACUAAAUUUAUGAAUAUGCAAAUAAAUAAUUAUCUCGCUUAAGGUGAUAUAUUAGUCACGUGUCGGUGGCCAUAGUCACUUAUAUAUUGGCGAAAACAGAAAAGCAAACCCAAACAUUAUAAACUGCUAUUUAUAUUAAUUUUGUAAUAAUUAAUUAAUUAUGGUUAUGGUUAUGGUUAUGGUGGAGGGAGUUGCAGCCUACUACUACUGCUUCUACUACCUAAGAUAAUUAAUUAUCUGCGCAAAGCCAAGCUACCUUUCUUCGUCCUCAUCUGUGCAAAGCAAAGCCUCUGUUUCUAGUUCCGUUCUCUUAAUUUGUUUCUUAUUGUUUGCUCAUUUCCGUUAGUAUUAGAUCAGAGAGAGAGAGAGAGAGAGAGGGUGGAGAUUUGGACAGGUCUGGCUGUGGCCGGAAUCAAAGAAGAAUAUUUGAGGGAGGAGGAGAAAACAUCGAACAAAAUUAAAGCGAAACAAAUUAGGAAAACUCUAUGGAUUGGUGGCAUAAGAUGAUCUUCCCUGUUCGAAGACUCUGGUUUGUAGUUUCUUCUCGCGUUAAGGCUCGCAAAAAUGGUGCGUUUCUUUCCCUUUCCUUUCUUUCACCCCAUUCUCUUUCUCAGUUAAUGUUCUUUGUUUCCCAGAGGCUUUUAUUCUUUCUUUGGAGUUCUCUCUUUUCUUCUUCUUCCUUCUUGUAUUACUGAAUUUUCAAAAUAAAAGAAAUUAUUCACUAGCCAACAAAAGGUUUUAAUGAACUCUUUUAUUUUAUUUUUUUCAAAUUUCUUAAAAUUGUUUUGAUGUGUAUUAUUGUUUCUUUUUGAGUUCCGAAAAGAGUUCAACUAUUCAGGACGAAGAGAAGAGAGGGAAAAAUAUUAUAUGACUUAUUGAAUCAAAUCUAAUCUAUGCUUAAGCUUGAGUCUAUUCGAAAUAUUGGUAGAAAAUAUAAAUCUAAUCAUAUCCUCUUAAAAAAAGAAGAAGAUAUAUUUCUCCUAAAAUCUAUAACUAUUGUAAUAUAGAACACAUCUUGCACCGACAAAAAUGCUUAAGUUUGAAAUUGAAUAUUUUUGUUAAAGUAUUUUCGAAUGAAAACAAACUCAUCUUGAAAUGGAUUAUUCCUUGAUUGUAUUUUUAGUUUCAAUUCAUUUGGAGGAAAAGAAACAGCGGAAUUUUAAAAUUGAAACAAGGGAAAAGAAAACCAUGUUAAUUUACUCCAUAAUGAUUCUUUGAUUUUCUUUUUCAAUUUCUAAAGAUAAUGCAAUAUGGAAGGCUGUUAGUAGGUAAAAGAUACUAAUUUAAUUAGAUGCACAUAAUUAUUUAAUAUGUUUUCUUAUUUAGAGAAGAUAAAAUUGAAGUAUUACUUUUUCAAAUGGACUUACAUUUGACUCUUUGUGGAUGUAUAGAAUUUACUUAUUAACAAGGAAAGAUAUAUACAUAUAAUUUUUAAAUAAGUGAUAUCAUGUGUUGAUUAACAACAUAUAAAGUUAUUUAAAUAUUAAUUAUUUAUGUAGUUAAACAUUUGGUUGAAUAAUAAGUACUUUUAUUUAUUUAUUUUUCAUUUAAAAUAUUAAAGAGGGAAUUCAAAAUUUGACGAUUUUUUUACUAAGAAAUAGAAUGGUUAACUAAGGGGCCCGUGAGCCCCCACUUAGUAAUUUACCAAAUAUCAAUAUCAAUAUCUUGGUUUUGAAGUUACUUAAUGGGAAAGAUUAGGUUAAAGAUAAUUUAGUUAAAUUACAAUAAUCAAGGAAAGAUGAUUGAUCUAUAAAUAAAAAAGAAAGUUGAUUGAAGAUAUUUGGUAAAGUAAUUACGCAUCUUAUCUUUUUCCGGAAGCUCGGCUGAGAUUGGACGAAAACAUUAUUUUAUUUUCAAUCAUGACUCAACCAGAAUAACUUCUUUUUUUUUUUUUAAUGCAGGAGCCGGGUUGUUGAAGCUUCACGAUGAUGUACAAACAUGUGGAUACGAAGAUGUGCAGGUGAUGUGGGAAAUGCUGCGAAGAUCGGAAUCGGAGCUGAUGGCUGCUAACAACAGUCCCAAGCGCAAGCACCGCCCAGCUUUCUGGAGAGUUUUCGUUUGGUCUUCUAACCACACUUCAUCCUUCUCGCCCAAUCAUGCCUAACUUCACACCAUUGGCAUGCAUACUUCCUAAUAAUAAUGAUAAUGAUGAUAAUAAUAGUAAUAAUAAUAAUGUGUUCCUACUGUCCUGCAGCAUGGACAUUUGCGUCUUACGUUUAGAACUGAACUUAUAACUCUGACGGCCUACCAUACAGUGGCAUGGUACAGAGCUCUGUUGCAACCAUGAACAAUGUUCAAAUUGAAAUGGAAAUAUAAGAUGAUGUAUUACUCUGUUCCUUUUGCUGGGGGUUCAAAAAUUGCUUUCAAAUGACACAACUAUUAUGCAUACAUGCGUAUAUACUUAUCAACUGUAAUCAAAUUACAGUACGGUAGUUCAAUCGGUGGAGGAUAAAGAGACUAAUAAUACUUAAAAUUCCACUAGGAAGGAACAAAAGGUUGUACGUAUGUAUGCAUGGUAAUUGAAAAUGAUUUAAGCAAUUACUUGACUCCAUAAAAUUGUCAUCAAAUCAAAUUACUACGACCAAUCAAACCAUCACAAACAAGUUGAAAUGACUAAAGCGAGAAGAAAGAUGGCAUAAGAAACCUCUAUUUCUCGUGUAUUUUUCUCCAUUAAACCUUUGGUCCCAUACCAUACCAUAUCUUUUAUCUCAUGUAUUCAUGCCCCUGUAAUAAAACAUUAAAACACAGGCAAAGGCAGCUUAACAAUCUCCCAAAAUAUGAUAAUACCUGUGUAAGAAUUGAAUGUGAGGAGAAAUACCUGAUCAGAGAAACUUAAGAGUAUGUAUUUGUCACUGUAACACUUUAUCUAAGCUAUGCAAGGGAGUCUUGACUCUUGAGUACUUAAAGUACCAGCUAUUAUUACGGUGUAAUAGAACUAUUCUCCAUCAGCUCACAAGAAGAGAAGCCAUGGAAUACAAAGAUACAAAAACGAAGAACAUCGGAAAUGACAGAAAAUAUGAGGUUAUAACAAGUGAAUAUCACAACAAUUCCAGAUCAAAGCGAUUAAAUAUGACAGCAGUUCAUCGAAGAGUUUCAGAGUAAAAAAGGUAAAAUCAGCAAGAAUGAUAAAGAAAGCAUAACUUUUGAUAUUAAGAUUCUAACUGGAUUGUUGCAAGUGAAUAAAGUGGAAUUUCACAUCAUGAAAUUUGUCUGCCUCCUAAGCUAAGAUAUUAUUCCUGCAAAACUGUAAUACAAAUUUUUCCUCAUAGGCUAUUAUAGAAAAAACUAAGUGAACCAAAAUAAUGCUAAAGGUACAACAACGGGGCAAUCAAUCAUGUGUUUGCUUUUCUCCUUAUCCCUUUUGACUAGUUGCCAACUAACCACAAGUAUCGUGUUUUAGGGGGCAUAAUCCUAAAUGCAGCACCCUGCUCACGAAAACUUAUUUCCACUUCCGGGAACCUUUUGACAUUAAGUUACCAAAUAAAUUACUGACAGACGCACAAGUUCCUGAAUGUUAUUCCUCGGGUGAAUGCAUGUAUAUCUUCUCAAGCAGUACUGGCCAGCCUUCUCCAAGCCUCUGUGGGUUCAAUUCCAUGGCAGUCUUGAAAUCCAGCAAAGAAAUCAGUUUGUAGUAUCUCUGUUCGUCUAUAGCUUCCAAAUUCCAGCUGCUAUUUUGAACCUGAUUAUGGUGACUUGGUGAGACACCGUUAACAAGAUUCCAGUGGGAAUGCUGCUUCACUGUAUUAUUUUUACUCAAACUACAUCCAUGCCUGGUUCCUACUAGCUCAAAGCUCAUCCUUAUUAAGCUCUUUAAGUAGACAUCCAGUCCGUUGUUCAAGAUAUUGGCACAAUCCAUUGGCACACCUUCAAGGCCCUCCAGUGCAGCAAUUUGUUGCAUGCGUUCCCUCAGUGCCUCAGAGUCGAGCAAUCCACCAAUAGCAUAUGACUUGGCAUGUCUAGUACUUCUUGCCAAAGUCAAAGCCCUUCGGGUCUCAGAGAUACUACUAGAGAAUAAUGGAAUUCCAAGUGGUGCUUGCAAUGAACUUCUAGCACACAACUCCUUUCCAUCUGCAGCAAACAAUACUUCACUUUGACCUCUGCCAUCUUCAGAAACAAAACUAUUGGCUGAUCCCUUUACUUCAGAGUUAGGAAGCAGAACAUCUCUUCCAUUAUCUGCUUUGCCUGAAACUUCUUGAUGAUGCUGCACCGGCUUCUUUGUACCACGAGAAGUCAGAUCCUGAUUUUCAGAUACAAUAAUGUCAUUAGUUAUUGUUGAUUCAUGAGAAGCAGAAUCCACCUUGGCAGUAAGCCUAAUGGAUGCUCCAGAUCUUGCUUUCCGAGGUGACAAUAGAACAUCCCCAAUUUGCUGACCGUCAAGGAUAGUCACAGGCAGUGGAGGGACUUUCGCAUUACAAGCAUUUUUCAAUAUUGAACGGAUUAGGAGAUUGUGUAGUCUAACAUUCUCUUUCCCGAGAACACGAAAGCAAACCUUAUUGAACUCAACCUUGCUUAGCUUCAAGUUCAACAAUUUAUUCAAAUAAUGGUAGUACUGUUUCGAUCUCUCAGGCCCCAGUCUCUUUAUUAACUGAGCUUUCAACUCAAGGAGAUUGAUCCGCGAGUGCUGAUUUGGCGGUUGCAUUGUUCACCGCUAAAAAUCCAUAACCUAAUUAAUUGACCAAAAAAUGCAGACACACACUUCCUUUCACCCCAAAAACUUCAAUUAAAUUAGGGCUUCUUUGCUCCAUUUCAAAAACCCCCUUUCCAUAACCCCACUAAAGAUGUUCCACUAACUCCAGAAAGACCCAUGGACACCAUUACAAAACGCAUCUUUGCAACCCAACAGCAAAGCUCUCAUAAAGUUCAAAGAUUUAAACUCGUCCCUCCAAAUUCAAUCAACAAAAUUCAAAUAAAAACCCAGAGAAAUGAAAAAGAAAGAAAGCCAAAUUUGAACCAUAUCAACCCAGAAAAAACCUCCUUUAUACUUAUUCAGAGAUAAAUUUGACUAAAAAAUCCACGAAAAUGAGCUCAACCCGGUUCAUGAACAUCUCUUCUUUAUUCAAUAAAUAGAAGCUAACAGAAAAAUACCGCCUCGAAAAGCAAAGUGCUGCUACGCGGAUCAACGAAUGUUAAAAAUAUAAGUUCAAUGCCAACUUUCAACAAUAAGCUUGAAUUUCAUGGGGGAAAUUGAAUACAACAGAGAGCAAAGGAAACAGGAGAUUCCAGAAAGAGAGAAUUUCGAAAAGAAACGUUAUUGUUGCUCUGACCUGAUUGGAGCUCGAGAAAGUGGAAGAAAAUUUCCGCGGAUAAAGAAAAACAAAAUACCGUUCUGCUAUCUUUCCUUCGAACUCGAGCUUCCUUCUCCUUAUAUCUUCACUUCCUAUUCUCUCAUCAAAGAACUUUUUGUAGCAUUUUCAACACAUUUUCGUCUGAUUUUCUCUUCCAGAGAUCUUUGAUGGAUUUUGGGUUUGAAAUCAAAGAGUUCUUCAGCUUACCCUCUUUGAUCCAUUAUUUUUCUACGAUUUCCUUUCUGGUUUUUUUAUCCUUUUCGUGUAUAUUGUAUUGGGCUAAUAUAAUAUUUAAUAUAUGAUAUUGUAUUGGGCUAAUAUAAUAUUUAAUAUAUGAUAUUGAUUUUAAAUGCUUAAUUUGAUAUUUAAAUUUAUUUUUAAAUUGGUAUUUAAAUUUAAAUUUAAUGUUUAAUUUUAUAUCUAUUUUUUUUUAAUUUGAUACUUAGUAAAAUUUUUUGUCCCAAUUAAAUAUAUGAGUUCGACAUCAAUCCUUAAUUUAACAUUUAAACUUUUUUUAUCCCAAUUAAAUAUUUGUAAUUUUUUACUAGAAUACAAAUAUUAAAUAUUGAUAGAAUUUAAGUAUUAAAUUAAAUAUUAAAACAAGUUACAAAUGAUAUAAUAAUAUAUUGUAAAUAAAUGUUACAAUGUAAGAGCUCCAAAAACAAUUUCCACUGAAGUUGAGGGAAUAAUGGGGUGGUUUACUGUCAGAGAGUGAAUAUGAUAAAAUAUGUGAUUUCCGAUAUAGAAGAUAAUUUUUGAAUGUUAUAAUGAAUUAAUAUUUAAUGCAUCAAUUUAAUAAAUUAAAUUCUUUUAUUUGUUUAUUUAAUUUAUUUAUAUUCAAAAAUUUUAAGAUUCAAACAGAUAAUCGAAUCAAUUAAAUGAUUUGUUUAAUGAUACAAUCAAUUUAAUCAAUUUAAUAAAUUAAAUCAAUAAAAAAUUAUAAAAAUAAAAAAUAUAUAUAAAAAAUUCAAUUUAACUUUCCUAGUCAAUUAAUUUAGAUCAACCGAUUCGAUUUAAAUAACCUAGAUUUACUCUAAUUUAAUAAAUUUUAAUUUUUUUUUUUUACUUUUUGUCAAAUUCAGUUCUUAAAACUUUUACAUUUUGUUUACAAAUAGUGGAUUUAAUUUGUAUAGUCUCAUCUAUAUUUUUCUUGAUAAAUGUGGUCAAAAAUAAAUUAUAUAAACAAAUGUGACAUUUUAUUUAAAUUUCACUGGAAGCGGACCAAAUCAAAUAAUAACCUAUUUUAUAAUAAAAAGAAAAAAUCAAAGUCGGAUGCCAAACAAAGAAAAACUAUAUACGCCACUGAAAAACGAAAUUCUAUGAUCUCUGAAAUUGAAGCAAAGGAUUUUAUUACCAAACUGGAAAACUCUAAUAAAACGAUUGUACAAGUCUCGGGAAAAUUCUACUAUAUAUUAAUAGGAAAAUGGAUUUCAAAAUGUAAUGAAGGAAUACUUCCUUAAACAAAAAACAAAAUCAUGGACAGUUAAUCAGAACACCGAAAGAACCUGAAAUGCUUUGCACUAAAAUGCUUUGCUUGCUCUUACUGUGAAGCCAGUUGAAGGUGAGGCCUAAUUGGCAACCGGAUUGCCAGUCUUUUAAGCUGUACAAAGAGAUGACCAAGAAAAAGCCAGACUUUCAGUUACUACGGAAUAUUCUUCGAGGGUCAAGUUGUCCGCUACAGUAACUGGAAGGAACAGCUGAAAUCUCCAGCCUCCCUUUCCACUCUUCACCAGGUUUCAAAAUGAUGGGCUUCUCUACACAAGCAGCUGUGACACAUAGCAUGUGUUUAUAUUCAUCAUCACCAAAAUCAGCCAUCGCCUUUGCUUUCUUAUCCCAGGGGUUCCACACGACUGAAAAGAAAAAAAGGGAAAUACAGGAAUUAAAAAACUGUAAUCAACACAUCUAACCAUGAUUUACAUCCUUAUCCAAUCAUCUAAAAGAAACCAUAUGAUUAAACCUAUCUUCGCCAUAUUUAGUCGUUCUAAAUACAGUCAGCUGAUCUAUAGUUAUUAACUUCCAAGGUGAGAACGGACCAACAACAAAAUAUCCAUAGCACGCAUAAUUAGUGUAUAGAGACGAUGAACUCACCAGCAUCUGGAAGUCCAUCCUUUCUCAACACAAAAGUCCGCUUCCUGUCAUGGUCCAGGAUGGCAAUUUUUGUAGGUGUACUGAGAUAUACUUUGUCAACCUUUUUCAUUAAGGAUAACAGUAAUAAAACAAUAAACACAAAGUAGAAUUAAAAAGACCAGGAAAAUGGAUAAGCCUGCUUAUGAAAAUCAACACUAACUUCUGACUCGAAUGUUAAUGCGUCCCCUUGUUCAGUGAACCGCUCUCUAUUCUUCAGGUUAUCCAAAUAAUCCAGCGUCUCUAGUCCUUCUACUCGCACUUCACUAAACAAAAUAGAAAAAAAAAUUACAAAGAGCAUGAAUGAGUAGGCCCUUGCAAUUUAUCAUACAACAAUGUCUAGAAACAAAGCUUUUUUUCAUUCUAUCUGUAAUACAAACGUGUUAUUAAAUUAUUAACAUUUCAAUAUAAAGUCAUCAUCUUUUGCAAGAGUAUCUAGAACACCUAUUCAAAAUAGUAAAGCAAAUAUAUUUAGCUACAAUGUAGAAGACUGUAGCCUGCAUGAUUAUAAACCAUACGUGUAAGUAAACUACUCAUGUCCAGUGACUAAUAACUUUGAUCUCAUAUUUUAUUCUCCUGCUCUUGAUAGUCCCACUAGAACUAUAGGGUGAUUUCAUCAAGGAAUGUUCAGAGAUUGCAUCUCACAUUGCUUUCAAGACUUAAGGAAAAGAGAGCCAGCAUUGUUAAAUAAAGAAAAUAACUGCAACAAGUAAAAUUAAAAAUUCAUAAUACCAUAUUUACAUGUGAAGGUUCUCAAAACUAAAAACCACAAGAUGGCAAGAAAAAUAUAUUGAACCUGAUAUCAGUGACUGAAAAAUAGGUGUGAUAGGCAAAUGUAAAUGUAAACGACUUUCCAUCAGUGUUGGUAUUUCGAAUGCGGGAUGUCAACAUCAAAUCACCACCAGGACCCAAAGCUAUCCUUAAUCGACACUCAUACCUGCACAAGAUAGCAUAUCCCUUAAUCCAAACAAUGGAACUUCAGUAUCAAUCUCACAUGCCUACCUAAAUGUACACAUUAAAUAAACAGGACAAGUAACAUAGAAAUGAAAUCGGUUAAUCCAUAAAUCUAUAUACAGACCAGUACUAGAGCACAUUAAGAUUGACUUCAAAAACAGUGUACAACCGGAUCCCAUAAACAAUAAUGUUUUAUGGGAAUAACAAACUAUAUUCCAUGCCACUUUAACAGUUUUGCUUAAACUAAAGCACUGAAAUUAAAAUGUCAAUUUAGGAACAUAAUUAAAUAGAUCAAACUUCGUAUUGAGAUAUGCACCUGUGAGGCCAGAUUUUCACUUCUUCUUCAGAGUGCCUGAGGAUUAAGUCCACGAAGGCCCUGUGAGAAGUAUUUGCCGGAAAUGGUGGGGGAUCAGGAUCAACACUCCAAAGACGAUUCCUUGCAAAUCCAUGUUGCUCAAGAGAAUCAAUAGUCCCGAACUGCAGACCGCAAACAUUUGAGCUGGAAGAAAAGUAUACAUAAUAAUUGCAAAAACACAAAGACAAGAAUUGAAGCACAUACUUGAGGAAAACAGAUCUGUAUACCUCCACGAAUAGCAUUAGGGGGCUUAAAUGUAGCCUGCAGAAAGCACACAUAUUCAUUGAUAAGGCAAUCCUAUUGCUAGUUUUCUCCCAAAAUAAAAAAUCAAUAUACAUGGAUCAUUUCAAUUAGAAAGUUUUUGUCCUUCAAGAAAAUCAAGAAACCUUGUUUAUAUCAAAAGGUAAGUAAAACUGACAGUUCUUUCGACAUUUCCCUCCCAAAACUAACUCAUUUUUUAGAAGUGCUUUUUAAGCACUAACCUCUAUACCAAAUACCAUCAAGUGUUGAUCAAACAUGAAACACCAACUAAAUAACUAUAACCUGCAAGAAUUAAUCAACACACUGCAAAAUUAUGAGACCCUACAAGCAUAUGGUUGACUAAAUGGGAUAAAAAGAUAACAGGAUUACAAGUGACCAAUGUGGUAAAAGUCAUCCCAUGAACUAUUGCAUGCACAUUCUGGGACUAUCUCUGCUGAAGAUAAUUAAUAAAAUGCGGAAAAGGUAACUUUAAUUCUUUUAAAUCCGUAAGCUAAACAUCUUCUUACUAGAAUAAUUCUAAAACAGAUACCUUACUACUAAGGAAAAGCAACUGUUCCCUGAAUUCAUUCUUCCAAGAAGUGACUUGGCCUCCAUCCAGAUAGACCUGUUUAAGAGGAAAAAUGGAAAAUGAAGACAGAAUUUGUGUUGUCUAAGAGUGUAUUAAGUUUUUCAGGAAGACUGCCUAAGCAGCAAUCACAACUUUCUCUGUUGAUACGAUGGGAUUUCAAGAAACACUGAUUCCACUUUUAAGCAUGGUUAAUAUAAGGAAAAAAAUCAACAGACUGCAGAUAUUCAAACAAAAGAAUUAAUUUUCAGAAAUAAUUAUCAUCAGAAGAAAGAGAGUGAGAUAAAGAUUCUCAUAGCUUUAAGGACACAGAAAUGGAUUAUUAUCUAUACUAGUAUACUACGGUGGAGGAAAUCAAAGACUUCUCUAGUGAACUCAAUUUAUCAUCAUGCGUCCAUUUAACUAAAUAUGUUAACAUAAUAAAUCAAGAUCAACUUUAUUAUUUGUCAUCCAAUAGGAUGUGGUAAGCAUAUCAACUCACACGUUUUAAACUUCCCUGUAGGUGUAUAGAAAUAGUAAUAAUGAGCUUUAAUCGGCACCCUCAAGAUUGGUUUCUCAAGAAUCUUUCGGUUCAUACAUUUCACCUUUCUCUUGACAUCUUCUUUUGUCUUUUUUAUAAACACACUCGGUGCCAUUCACGACUACAACAAAGAAUGAAUUAUUCUUCAUUUUAAAUUCAAUGCAAACGCAACGCAUCUUCAGGAGAUUCAUAGAACACAUUCGGUCCCAUUCACGAGUACGACAAAAGAACGAAUUAUUCUUAAUAUAAAUUCAAUGCAAACGCAACGCAUCUUCAUCAGAUAUAUUAAGCAAAAAAAACCCGACCGUUACAAGACUAGAAAUCAUCACAGUUUCAUUAUACAAACAAUUAACAAUCACAAGAUCUAAAUCGAUGAACACAACAAUCAAAUGCAUAACACGCAAAACUCUGAAAAUAAAAGAAAAAGAACAGGUAAUCUUUUAAAUGCAGCUUAACAUUUUAACAAAGUUUUGAAGAUUCCUAACAAAAAAAAUAACAAGAAUAACUCUGGCUCCGAAAACAGAGACAAGAUUGAUGAGAUAAGAAAGCGCAAACGAAAGAUCGGAGGAAAGAGAGGGGAAACCUCAGCAGAGCAACCACGUAUCUCCCUUAAGAUGACUUUGUCGAGGCCAUUAACGCCUUUACAGUGCUCGACAUACACAUUCUCUGAAGCCAUCUAAUGAAAUUCUUCAAUUUCUGGAAAGAGAACAGAGGGGGGGAAAAUCAUAUAAAGGAGAGAAGGAAAGAGAGAGUGAGAAGUGGAGUAUUUCGGAGGAUGUUUGUUCGGAGGGGGUCUACUUAAUUAAGGAAAUAUCAGAUAAUUUAUUUUUAUUUCGUAAGUUUUUUUCUUUUCCUUUUAGUAAGUUUAUUUUAUUUCGGAACGUAACAAUAACGUGUGUUUACGGCUUUACGCUCCAUUAUUAUCCUUUUAAAAAACGACGGCAUCACGAUUGCUAGAAUAAGUCACAUUAACCAUAUUAUUAUCGAUGAAAAUAGGUAAACGAGUGAAGCUUCUAAUUUGAUUUUUUUACUAAAAAAAGCAAUUUAAUUUUUAUAUAUUUUAAAAUGUGUAAAUUAAUUCCUUCAUGAAAUAUUAAAUUUAUGUUCUAAAUUAUUUUUUCAGAUAAACUAUAAAAAUAGUCAUCCAGUUAUAUUUUUCAUUUUAUUAUGAUCAUUCGGCAAUUAAUAUUUUCGAUUUAGUUACUAAAUUUUUUUUAAAAUUACAUAUUUUAAUCGAGCUAAUGUGAGUAUUUUUAUUGGUCUAAUAAUACAAUUAGCCCUCUAAUAUUUACACCUUAAAUCAAUUUAAUUAUAAAUAUAGAAAAUUCAACAAAUUUAGCCCUUAAAGUUUACAAAAUUUGUCAUUUUAGUUCUUUAUAACUCAUUGAGUAACUCACGUGAGAUAUUAAAAUGAUAAAAUAGUACACUCUUACAAGACAUUUGCAUCAAUUUCUUUUAUUAUAAUUUGUGCGUCACAUUGGACCAAACCAAUUAAUUUGGACUCUAUCUAAAAUAAUUGAUUGCAUUACCACCCGAAAAAUAACGUUUUUAAUGCCUUUUAUUUUCUUUUGAAUCUUAAAUUUUUUUUUUGUAUUUUAUCUCAACUUUUUUAAAGUCAUUUUGCAAGUGACUUGAAAGAUGAUACUUUUUUUCUUAUUUUAAUUUAAAAAAAGACCUACAUCAGUUCAAAUGGACUAAAAUAAUUAAUUUUAAAAAAUUUAGUUACUAAAUCAAUAGAAAUUAUUAGUUGUGUGACAAAAUAGAACGAAAGACAUAGUUGCAUAAUUAUUUUUAUUGUUUAUCCAUAAAAAAUAAUUUCGACAUAAAUAUAACGUUCCACGUACCAUUUAACAAAUAAAAUUUAAAGAAUAGACUAAUUAGUACAUUUCAAAAUAUAUAAAAAUUAAUUUACUCUGUAAAAACCCAAAAUGCAAUUCAUCUUCUCUUAUACUUUUACCAUGAAAAUACUAUAUUUUAAAACCACCUGUUCUACUCCAAAAUAAUAUUAAAAAAAUUACCCCAUUUUAAGGUUAACUAACUUUUAAAAAUGAAUUUCGUAAAGUUUUAGAUGAUUCUAAUAAUUUUUUAUAUAAUUUUAGUAAUAUUUUUGGAGGCAGAAUUAAAUUAUAUUUUUUUAUAAUAAUAAAAAUAUAAUUUUAUAUUUUAAAAUUUUUAAAAGGUUAAAUCAAAUUUUUAUUAUUUUUAAGAGAAUAAAGUAUAAUUUUAUCAUUAGUAAUUUAAAAUUUUAUAAAUUAUAAAAUUUUAUCAAUUUAAGAGGUCAAAACCUCGAGUCUCUACUAAACUCUGCUAUUAAAUUUAUAAACUUUUUUUUAAGAGAUUGUCGCUCCAAUUUUCGUAAAAAAAAAAUUAGCGAAAAGAAAAACUAUAUACCAUCGUCGAUCAAAUAUGGUAUACACAAUAUAUAUAUAUUCAUAAUCUAGCAUGAAUUUUAUGUUGCAAAUCGUGAUGAUGCAUUUAAGAAUCAUUAAAUUUUGUGUCGUAUAUGGUAAAUGCAGCUAAAGUUUAUUUUUUAAACUAAAAAUAAUAAUAAAUUAAGGGAAAAAAGUUAAAACUACAGAGCAAGAUGAGGGAAACUAAGGCAGAUAAAUUUAAAAAUAUAUGAACCCCAAAAAAUUUUAUUUUAUAAUAUUUUAAACUUGUUUCUCGUUCAAAUAUUUUUAAUUAACUUAAAUUUUUUUAUUUUUGUAAAUUCAUUGAUUGAAUUGAUACCUCUUUUUCUCGUCCAACCAAUAGACAUAAACAGACAUUUUAACACCAUACGUAAUUUAGGACCAACGCUCCAUCAGAAGCAUGCAAUAAUGCUGUAUCCUCGUAUAUUAAUGCUGUAUCACACGUUCACUUAAGAAAUAGAUUUUGAUUUGUCGGCCACCUUUAAGAUGCCGUGCUUCACAUGAUUUCAUCACAUAUAUAUACCGUGUUUGGUUUAUGAGAAAAUGAAACAUCAUCAAAUUUGAUUUGAUUGCUUUGGUUAAAUGUAGUAUUGUUUCAUAUACAUACUGAACUGAAAAUCAAAGUCAUUUACUCUGAUGUGAUGUUGCAUACCUUCUUUUUCUAUAAAGGUUUACUGUUUAAGGUUAAAGUUAUAUUUCAGUAUUUAUAUAUUCUAUAAAAGAACAUUGUACAACAAGUAGGGCAUUUGGGGGAAUAAAUUUUCUUUUCAGCCAAUACUGUAAAACAACCUAUAUAUGAUACAAAAAGAGUAUCGUGCUACAAACCAGAAGCUUAAUCCAGUUAUGCAAUCACCUUUAAAAUUCAGGGUCCAAUAGAUUUACAAUUCGAAUCUCAACCUCUACAACUCCUUUCCACCUUUCCUUUUCCUUAGACUAUGACCUCAUUUGUAGUAGGUCAUAACUGUUUCGAAUCGUCUCUUUCUAGCUUCUGUUAGGAUCAUAUGGUUUAAGAGCUCAGUUCUACCUCCAUCCGUGCACCGGAUGGAAAUAAAAUUACACCUGAACUUAGAAGGUUAAGAUAUGUGCAGGCUGUAGAAGUAAGAAACAAGAAGAGAGGCAACAGAUGAGCAAAGUAAUUCAGAAACUAACCUGAGCGUUAUCUGUUUUAUAUUUUUGCAGUUCUUCUUGGGCACAAAUGAGCCUACAUACAACAAACCAAGGUUCAGACUAGUUUUUAUGUUUUGAGAUGGUAAAAUUAAGAAGCAAAAAGAGAACAGAAUGCACUAGACAUUGGAAUACCUCCACUGUAACUCGGAUAUUUCAUGAAGCAACUCCUUCUCCCUAUCAUGAGCUACUUCCAACUGCAAUUCAAGAAAAAUAUGUUUCCCAAAUGAAUUGUGCAAGACGAAGAUCUAGAUUCGGGAUCAUUCAUGCAACCUCAAAAUCAUGUAGGUCGAUGAGGGGAUUACAGAUGAUGUAAGAUAAAGUUGAACGUUAUAGCAUAAUAAUGAUUGACAGCGAACCAACAAACCAAUGCCAAAGGGAAACAUGGGAACUCCACUGUAGAGCUUUCGUAGAACCUGUUGGAAACACACACAAACUACUACUUCCUGCUUUUCGGCAACACAUUUCGCUCAAUUCAUUAUUGACCUUCACAUUGCUCCCUUAUCUCCUCCUCUAUAAGAAUUCUAAAAUGAUUAAAACCCAUUUUUUCUGUUCAAUUUUCUAAGUAUAAGAUUUAUUGUAUGUUCCCUUAAGUUGUCGACAACUCAUCCUAAUUAAAGAUCCCACACAUGUAUUCCAAAAUUUCAAUUCAUAAAGUGCAGGACUCUGCGUUCACAAUUUUUUUACGGCAGAGACUAUAUUUUUUGAGAUUACCUUGGCUGAUUUUUAAUGAUAGAACCCUAUACGACGUACCAAAGAUUUCUCUGUGACAGUUGAGACAUUAGCUGGCAUGGAAGCUCCCUCGAAUGGGCGGUUGGCUAAAUAAUGGAGAAAUAGAAAAUGUAAGAUCAUCUAAUUUGCAUUCAUUAAAGAGAGGAAUAGGAGAGUUUUGAGGAGUGUUAAUUUUAGCACACCUAUAGAGUCACCAGCAGAAACUUGCUUCAUCAGAUUAAGAAUAUGAUCCUGUUGAUGAAAGCAAGCCAAGUAAAGACAUUAGCUUUACAGAUACAGUGGUAAAAUGGCAAAAAUAUGUGUCUAACUUAUACCCUUUGAAGAAUGUUUGUCUGCAAAACGGAUUGCAAUAAUGGGAAAAGUUGAUUGGAUGAAGAAGCUGAUGGUGUGGCAACAGGAGUUGAUGAUGAAGCAGCAUCAGAUGGUGCUGCUGCUGACACUAAAGGAUGUGGGUCCAUCAACUGCAUAACCCGUAACACUGACAUUAUAAAGAUUAUAAGAAAAUAAGUAAGAUUAUAGAUAUGUUUAUUUUUUCCAGGCAUACGAGGCAUCUUUGUCUAGUUAGGUUGAUUGAAAAACUACACAUGCAUCCAAGAUCAAUUAUCACUUCCUUCUUGAUGCUUGAACACAAGCCACCUACACAAUGGUUCAUGUGGACUCUGAGAUUUUCUGAGUGUGAUAUGUGAUGCUCAAUCAGCUCUCAAAGCAGUCAUAAGGUAAGGUUAGUUUUUACAUAAGGUUUAGAGCAUCCCUUUAGCCUGCUUUUCCUUGAAUCUCUGGAAAAGCAGCUUUAAGCUCCCCUUUCUUCUUUACUAAUACUUGUUAGGCUUACUUAUUGUCCGAAAAUUUUUUGUUACGGAUACAGUUCAAUCUCUUAUAAAUCAAGUCAGAUACCUAAUCAUGCAUUUACUAGAGAACUACAAAAUGGGGUAAUAGUUCUAAUGCUGGGUGUAAAAGGCAAUUUGGCACAUAAGGCUUUGCUUGGUAGAGUGGAAAGAAAAUUGGAAAGACAAAAAAUUGAAGAGGUGGAAAAAUAGAAAUAUGGAAAAUAUUAUUUCCAAAGGUGUGCUUGGUAGGAAAGAUAGAAAAAUGAAAAGAGUAAGGCUAAUUUAUAUCCCUUAUGAGAAAAAGAAGCAAGAGCCAGACCAGAAAGAUAUAAAUCACCUUCUCUAGUUGCACAUUUUCAGAGGUAACCUUAAAACGACCCCUUUGCUGAACAACAGGUGGCUUUGCUUUCUCAUCUAGAUCAUCACUGUUCAUUGCUGCAAUUACACUUUCGUUACUUGGGAAGUAAAUCAACUUGGAGUGGCAAGAGAGCAAAAUAAUCAAAUCAACCAACCAAAAGACAAAAACUGGAUUUUUGCACGACAAAAGCUAGAGAGUGAACAAUUAACACUUGCCUGAUGAUUUAGUAGAUGCCUUAGAAGGAAGCUCUGAAAUACUAUCCUCCUUUACUGCCACUCCAUUGACACCAGAAAUAUUCUGGGACUGGUUUUGCUUAUCACUGGAAAACUUCAUAAAAUGAGUGAAUGUUGAAAAAAUAGUAUGAUAAAAGGAUGACAAUAAUACUAAUACUACGGUUAAUGUUGUGUAAAUGAAUUGGAUGGGAUGAUAGUUUAAUAGAAGUUUGGAUAAAUGUUUCCCAGAUGUCUAAAGAUUACCCCUUGUCAACUCUCUGAUUCACACAACUCGAACCAUAUGGGUAAAUAUAGAUCACAUGAUUUGGCUUUUAUUCUAUCAAAUUGGAAAUCAAGCAUCUGGUAUGCCCAUGAUAAUCAUAGGCCAAGAUUUACAACAACAAUUUCAUUGCUGACAUAAAAAGCAGGACAUCAUGCUUUAUCUCAAAGGGACAACAGGCAAUGAAUGGAGUUUGCAGAAGUAAUUCUUGGGAGAGGAACUUUACACAAUAAGACAAGCAAAUUAAGUUGCCACACUACUGGUGCAACAGAGAAGUAAGCAUUAGAACCAAGAAAAUUUAAAGAAUUAUGCAGGUAAAGUAUCAAACCUUUCUCCUUUAAUUAGAAGAAUUAUGCAGGCAAAGCAUUAAACAAGCAAAAUAAAGUAUCAAACCUUUCUGGUGUAGGGGUGCUCCCUAAAGUUGCUAACCUUUGAAGAGAAGGUUUGGUCAUGUUAUCAAAAGAUUUUCCAUUGAGUUCCAAAACAUGCUUUUCACUUGGAUUACUUUCAAGAUGAUCAUCAUGACAAAGGGAAAUCACAUUCAGUUCAUUGGUGGGACUAGCAACGCUCGAGUCAUCAUCAGAUCUUUCAGAUCUAGCUCUGGAUGGUCAAACACAGACAUAAUUACAUUUCUUACAGUAAAUGAAGACUUAGUUAAAGUAUGAGACCUGAUGUGACACUUCUGGGGAAAGAAGACUAUUCAAAAUUUAAUUUAGCACAGGCAUGAUACACUAUGUUCUUAUAACUUCCUAUACUUGAACAAAAGAGACAAAAAAUUUAAAAAAGCAUGAAUGUCAGAUAAUUAAUAACAUACUUGGCAAAAUUUGUUGUUGGUUCAACAGCUGCAAAAGAAACUGGCUGAUUCAGGACCAGAUCAUUAUCUUCCUGUGGAAGCUAGACCAUCAUGAACCACCCAAAAGGGAUCUUGUAGGAAAGAAUAAAUGACCAAGCACAAGGCAUACAGAACCAAAAAAAAUACUAAUAAUAAUGAAGUACUUUAUAUGUGGCCUGAGAAGAGGUGUGCGGUUCUGAUUGCUUCUCUUGUCCAUCAAGAGUAGACAAAGAACUUGAACUCCCUCCCUGGGUAGUUUCGGAUAUAACAUCUUCAUCCUGAAUCUGACGAAACAGAAAAAAAGAAGAAUAUGCCAAUUCCAAAGAAUUUGAAAACAAAACAUAGAAGUUUCAUGUAAAGGAUGAAAGGAAAGAAACCAUUACUGUACCAGGGAAGCCUGAGCUUUCACAUCUUCAAGAUUGAAAUUCCAUUCACUUAUCCCACGUUUAUAUUCAUUCUGCUCGUUAUUACAAAAGCAUAGAAAAAUCAUGAACUUAAGAUCAUGAAAUCCUAUCAGUAGCCAUAGUAGCAGAAUAUAUUACAUCCAUGAGCAGGAAAGUAGAACAUGCAUCCAUGAUAGAACAGAGUAAAUUACAUAUUGGUGGAAGUAAAAAUCCACAAAGCGAACAUACACUUACAAAUUACCAAUCAAAGUUAAUAAUAUAAAUUGCAGUCUAAACCCAUACUCUAGUAUUGACUUCAUGAUCUAACCAAAAGUUUUAAUUCAAUAAUCAUGACUUAACACAAGAACAUCAUAAAGACCACUUGUUUCAAGUUUUUAAAGUUCUAACCUGCGAUAGUUCUUCUUUUUCACCAUCUGGCAUUUUCUUUUGAGCAAGCAUAUCUUCUUCUUUUCUCUAUGUUUGAAAAUGAUAGCAUUUGUGAGUAUAACAUAGAAAUUUAAACAUAACGGGAGGCUUAAUGAUACAAACUAAGAACCAUAUGCCUAAAAGUAGCAUGCUAACCUUCAAUGCUUGGAUACGAUCACCAAGAGCAGGCAAUCCAUCUAGAAGUGUUCGUGAUAUAUAAUCACUUGACCUCGCUUGCUUAAAAAAAGAAUGUUUUAAUAAUUUCUUCGCUGAAGGUCUUUUUGAAGGAUCUUUCACCAAGCAACUAGCAAUCAUUUGCUUGAAAGACUGAAGAGAAAAGAGAAACACAAGAUGAACACAUCACUUUAUCUAAUUAAAUCCGACUAUUGAGAGUUUUGGAGUGAUUAAAGCUUACCUUAGAAAACUUCUUAUCUCUUUCAUAAUCCAGGCCAGGAGGUGCAUUUUGCAAGGUCAUAAGCAAUACCUAAGAACAACAGAUAGGUUUUUAAAUCAGAAUAACUGUUAAGGUCCGGCAAAUGAUCAGGAUUAUGCCAAAGGGGAUCACAGAAGCUAUCCACCUUCAUUGGAGGAUAUUUUGAAAAAGGAGCAUGGCCAUGAGCAAGCUCUAGUGCAGUUAUACCGAAUGACCAGAUAUCCGCCCUACAUGGAUUUUGCCAAAUAAACAUCAACAUGAUGCCACCUAAGGAGCAUAAAUAUACUUUUUGAGAAAACAAUAGAUUUACUUGAAAUCAUAACCAUGAAGUUGCUCCAUAACCUCAGGUGCCAUCCUGAAACAAUGGAGAGGAAAUUAGUCCACAGAUUAUAAGAAACAUCGAAAGUUUGCCACUCUUGUAAGUCCAGUGAGACAUCUCUUCAAAAUUAAGAUGCUCUAUGAACAGGAUUAGCUGGUUAUUCUGUAAUCUACAUUUCUAUGGGUUGAUAAGGAUAUAUCUAGCCUGUGCUAUACAUAAAAUAUCUGGCACUCAAGAAUGCUAUCUAAGAACUAGGAACUAAUUGAAAUUUAGACAUGAUAAUGUAAACAUACCAGCAAGGUGUCCCUACAAAUGUAUUCCUCAGGCGUUGCCUAUCACCUGAUUCAAAAAUGCAAGCUGAAACACCAAAGUCCCCCAACUUGAUUCCACCGCGGGAGUCAAUAAGAAUAUUCCCAGCCUGUUGAACAAGAUCAUUGAGGAACAAAGAAACCAAGUACUUCAUUUUUACAUAAGAAACAAAUAAUUAAGCUUUAAUCAAAAUUCUAGGAGCUCACAACAAAAUAAUCAAGAUAUUCCACUUGAAGUUGCAAUGAAGAAAUAAUCAACUCAAACAUAUAUUGCACAAAUCAGAACCUCUGUUGUAGCAGAAAUACUAUCUUCACUUGCCCUAACGAUUUUCAGUAUGUAUGCCUUUUGACUAGCAAAUAACUUGCUCAAUCGUAGAGAAUUAGAGAUAAAAUAAACUGAACCAGUACGAGCUUGGUUUUAACCCUCCCCCCCGGCCCAAAGAAUUACAUGUGUAUAGCUCAAAUGAUGCUACAAACUGUAAUAAUCACUAAAAUAUAAUAGCACACACAAACACAAUAGCUUUAAAUCAUGAUGAAGACCAAAUGCUUACUUUAACAUCCCGAUGUAUGUGCCCAUGAUGAUGAAGAUACUCUAAACCUUUCAACACUUCACGAAGUACUGUUGCUAUAACAACCUCCUCAAAACCAUCUGGAUAUGCAGCCUUUAGUAUAUGAAGACAAGAUCCUCCAGACAUGUAUGGCAUGACAACCCAUAGAUUAUGAUCGCUAACAAAGGAGCAAUGAGAUUUAAGAACAUUUGGAUGGUCAACCAAGACCAUUGUUUGUGCCUCACGAGAAAUGUUAUUCUACACAGGCACAAUACAAGGAUGAUAUCAAAACAACUACCAAUUUUUAUUAGCUGAAGCUGAACAGGAAGAAAAAAAACAAAAUCCCUUUAAAAGAAGAUAGAACUAGUGUUAAUAACUUCGGAACAAUCAUGUUUGAUGCAAAAGCAUUCAGCCAAACUCUAAACAUACUAGCUAUGUUUGGAAUGAAAAAAGCUUUGCUCCAAAGCUGAUCUUAUGAAAAUGAUUGAUCUCUAACUUCUAUUAAUCCUACGCAUAUUUCAAAUGAUUGAUUUAAUUUGAGUUGACCAAAUGCACCAAUAUCUACAUCACGUAUUGAGGGAGAAGUGCCUCUUAUACGUGAACUUAAAUCUGUGUCCCUUAGCAUUCUACAUCAGCAGAUAUUAAAAAUCAAUAUCUACCAAAUCAAGAAGAAAAUGCUUAGCCAAGCUCAAGUAGGUGAUCAAGAUUGUUUGAAUAUCGUUGCAGAAUGUUAACUAAUUGUAUGCCGUAUCAACUAUGAAGAAAGCACAAACUUAUUGAUUUUCAAGUGAAGUUUAGAAACAGGGUUCAAGCAAAUAUCAAUGAUCCUUUUUAAAAAAAAUGAAAUCUCAUCAAAUUGCUGACCGAUCUUCAACAUAAGAUAUAAUGGAUCUACAGAAAUUCUUCAAAGUAGUUCAUCAUUGUGCAGCACAACAGAUAAAAAGAAGCAACGGUAAUUUUAUUUUAUUUUUAUAUUGAUCCAGUUUGGCACAACCUUUAGCCCGAAUCAGAUAAGAAAUGAUCAAAACCAAAUUUCAGUAAAUGAAGAACCAAACCACCACCCCCCAGAAAAAAUGAUAAUAACUUAAAAGAGAAAAACAAUAGCAGAAUCGGAAUGAAGGGAUUACCAGAUCACAGUUAUCACGUUCAAAAUCAAGAAUUUUUAUUGCAACAACUUCAUCAAAGGGUAUACAAUGAGCACGGCGCACAGAAGCACUAACACCCUGCCCGACCUCCUCAUGCAGAAUAUAAUACUCCGGUCCAAUUGGAUACUUCUUCUUCUCCAUUAUAAUUUAGACCUCUCCUUCCCCUUCACUGUCACAUAAACUCAACUUUCAAUCGUCUUCCAGCAUUAAAAGGCAAAACUUGAUAACAAAUCUUAAAAGGGCAUAAAGUUUGAAACAAAGCCAUGAUAACAAUAAUAAAAAAUGAUUUGUUGCGGUCUAUUAGGAAAAAACAUGUAUGUUGAAAAAAAAAAUCAAGCAAUGGGAGUAUUGAAUCAUAUACAAGCGAGCCUCGUUCUCUUAAAUAGCAAGCAAAGGCUUCCAAAGUCUAGAAAGAGAUCCCAAAUGGAAUCCAAUUUUUAAUAACAAUAUAAAACCAAUAAAACAUUUUAAAACAAAUAUAGAAUAUAAAUAUUGUGAUUUUUAUUCACGUAUAUACCGUAUCCAAUCUUCCAAAAAAAGAAUCAAUAAACAAACCUGAAAUAUCUUUUUCAAACCCACAUCCCGAAAUCAAUCUGCAUAAAAAGAAAGAAAGAAAGAAAGAUGAGGCGUAUUAUAAUAAAACAUUGAAAAGGCAUGUAUAAAAAAGUUAAAGGAAGAAAAAAUGAUUACCGUGCAAUGUAAUGAGAUGAGAGAAAGAGAAGUGAAAAGAAAGGAAAAGGAAAGGAGAUAAAAGAGAGAAAGGGGAAGGGAAAAGAGGCAUUGAUGAGAUGAAAGGGUUUAAUUGUUGUUUGGCUUCGCUUUCCCGUGAAAACAAAGAGCUAAAGGAGAGAGAGAGAAAGAUAGACAGCGAGGCUCUCGGAUCGCCGCUAAAUAUCGUUUGCAUGCAGGAAUCCCGCCACUUGUGUUUCUCUUUCUCUCUCUUUCUCUUUUAUUUUCUUUGAUUUAAGCAACAUUAUAAGCUAAUAAUCAUUAUUUUCUUUGAUUUUUUCUUCAAAUUGAAUUUUAAGAGUUUGAAUUGGUUUGUUAAGCUUGAUCGAGUUUUUCAAUUUUUUUUUUAAAAAUUAUAUAGUAUCUUUAUGUUAUUUUUCAUUAAUUUUGAAAAAAAAUCACUAAUCAAUUUUUUUUGAAUAUAUUAUUACUAUAAUUGUUCAGAAAAUUUCAUGUGUGACAUAUUUAUUUACUCCAAAACGUUUUGUAAGGAUAUACAGGUCCAGGAGAUAUAUAUGAUGAGGUUUAAGGAAUUUUAAAUAGGAUAAUUUCGUUAUUUCAUGAGAAAUUUGGAAUAUUUUUCUGGAUAAAAAUAUUCAUAUGACAUGGUUUAUGCGCAAAAAUAACUAAAAAUUAUAGGAAUAUUUAUAUAUGCAAUGGGUUUUGGGUGGGAGGUGGAGUGUAUAUAUUAGUGUUGGGACACAAGUUCCUCAGGAGUGUUAAUGUGUUAUUAUAUAUUAUGGAUGGUUCGUCUGAUAAAAGAGUGCAUGACCGUAAGAUUUACAGAGGCUUGACUCACUCAGAAUGUUUGAUUGAAGCAGAUGAUUAACAGAAAAAGAGGUAGUACUGGGAUGAAGAAGGAAGGUGUCUCCUAUGGUAUGUUUGGACUGAUUGGAGUUUGAAAGCCUUUUCCGCUAGCAGGCUGUUUAGCCUAUGAUUGAUACUGUUACGCUCUACAACAACUAACUGGGCUUCAAGCCCAAAUAAGAUCCUGUUGUUCAGCAUGUUGCUCCCAACUCUCCUACAUUUCACUCAACCUCUUCUCUAGCCAAUUUUUUCAUUUUUCAUGUUUCACUGCUGUGUGAAGGACAUAUAAUUCCAGAUGCAUGAGAUAUAUUUUCUAUGAUGUUUUCAGGCACGUACUAGACCACUAUUUUCAAUUUUGAACCGACCGGACCAGCCUCUAGCGUUACAACAAAACGAAGCACCCUUUAUCCAACUGACCCCCACUUCAAGGGUAGUACUAAGUGGUCAAGUGGAUCCCCAGUAAAUGUUUGUGACUAAAGGAAGAUGAGAGAUCCAUUAUAUAUGUCCUUGCUGCUAUCCUAUAACCUUUGCUACCUUAACUCAGUUUCCAUGUGCUCCACUUCUAUAACUGGUGUGCAAACGCAUGCAUGGACGCCCCCGUUGGCUGCUACAUUAUUGGCAAUCCAGCUGAGUAUUGAGGAUGACUGUAACCUUUCUCAACCUUCCUGGUAUUAAGAAACUUUUGCAAUCAAUAAUGUUUUCUUUUCUGUUGGAAAUAGCUAUAUAUGAGAUUCGUACUAAAGUCAUCGUCGGCUAGCUAGAACCAAUUUCUUCCGGUGUACUUGCCUGAGAAAUUAAUAGACAGAUUAAUGUAAAACCACCUGCAUUAAUUAAUUAAAAUCUUUAAGCAAGUUGUUUUUCUUUUCGUAGUUGGGAAUAUAUAUAUGUAUUAUUCAUCCAUUUUCCUUUCAACUAUAAAGGGAAGGUCUUGGAAGCUGCAAUAAGAGUAAUGACAAAUUGACUUAACUAAAAAAAGUCUAACUUGCACAAGCCCCAGAGGAAUUCAGAACAUGGUGCCAGCCUAAUCGAUGGAUUAGGGAUUCUGCAAGGAAAAAGAAACUACAAAAUAAAUUAAGCCCAACUUGAUUGUAGUUGACACUUGACAGGGUAAAAGUCAAACCCAAAACCUCGCUGAGUUUAGAGACAUAGAGCAUAUAAAAAAAGGCCAGCUACCUGAUACAAAUUAAGAAAAAAGAAUAUAUGUUGUGGUUAACUCCAGGAAUUUGCACUAAUCGUCCAUUCCAGCAUUAGUUUUCCCCAUCAUUUUACUAUAUAAUCAAAUUAAUUAGUCAUAUCUUUUGAACCAACCGCAUAUAUAAUUAUAUAUAAUCAAAAUUCUUCCCUCAACUUACUUUAGAACAUUGGGGGGAAAAAAGUCAAUUGGUUGCAAUUUUCUUAGAGCUCACAGGUGCCCAUAAAUAGACGUAAGACAUACAACUAAUCCUUCCAUGGUUAGUCUCUCUCUCUCGCCAUUUUAUGAGCUUAAAUCCAAAGAGAGAGACCUUAAGCAGCUCAAGGGGGAAAGUUGCAUUAUCUCUAAGAAGGAAGGGAUCUUCAGGAGAGUGAAGAAAUGGGAUAUGUGCUGGUGGUUUCACUUCCCAUGGUGAUUCUGCUCAUCAUGUUGAGCUUUUGUUGCUUUGUAAUGGGAAGGAACAAAGGGCGACAAGAAGGGCGUGCAUUGGCUGCUCAAGAACUUGGGAUUAAUCCUCAGUCACAGGGAAUGGUUUCGGUUGUAGAUGGUGGAAUGGUGCCCCCAGGGACCCCUCCACCACCACCUCCGCCUCAUCAACACCCAGCAUUCCCUUCUGUUCCUUCCCCUCAUCAACCUGCAUUCCCUUCUCCUACACCUCAUCAUCCCAAUACCCUCUACUUGAAGCAACAAAAUGGCAUGAUCGCUGCUUAAAAGUUCUCAUGUUUUUUCAUGUCGUUAUGAACUAAACAAGCUCUUCAUAUGUAUCCUUGUUGAUUAAUUUUAACUACAUUUGAGUUUGGUGUAGUUUCUUGGUUUAAUAACUAAUUUUCUUAGGGCUAUAUGUUAUUGUAAUCGAUUGAAUUUUUCAAUUUUCUUUUUCUUCCUUUCCUUUUCUUUUUGGUUUGAUUAAUUCAUCUCAUUUUGUAUUGUAUAGAUUUUUAUAUAUCCAUUCGCAUCAUAUGUGUGUCAUAGCCCUAGCCACCUACAAUUCUUGGUAAGCAGCAAUUUUUGUUUCUGAGUAUCGGUAUUUACUUCCCUCAAAAUUUAAGGGGAAAAAAAGAAGAAAAGUUGGCCAAUACUAAUAGAGCAUAAAUAGAAAGAGCCUUUGCAAGUGGAGUGGAGUUGUAUCUUAAUAAAAAUAAUACUACUAAACUACCGUAAAGUAACAUCCUAGGAGAAUCAGAAUGUAGUGAUUUGGCAGACAAAUUAAAGACCUGUUCAUGAGCACUUAACUCAGCGUUACUACACUUUUGUCCACUGGAAAUUGAGAAAUGCCUGCAUUGGGUCGGAAAGUUUAGCCGUGGAGGCUUGAACAUUAAGCUGCAUACAGUUAGCAAACACAUUAAAAAACACCUUUCUUUCUCUUCCACUCUGUCCUUCACAGAAUCUGAACCCUCACUUUAUUUAAGAAGCCACAAGAAACCUCUUUAUAAAUAUAUUUCUCCUCUUUACAAAGAGAUUUCAUAGGGAAAGCUCAAAGUAAAGAUGGGUUUGGUUGUAAUCAUCUCUCUACCACUACUUAUCCUCUGCAUAUUACUUGCUGCGGCAUAUUACUUCUUCAGAAGAGCUAAACGGCGACAAGCUACCAACCCUCAGAUUUAUGGGGCACCAGCUCCGCCGCCUGGUGCACCUCCUCCUCCACAUACCAAGCCUGACAACUUGGCCAGUGUUUGACAGGUUCCAAGAAUGGAUUUUUUAUCUCUGGGAUAACUUUAGAAAAGAAAAUUCCCAUCCCUGUACUUUUUUUUACUGUAGACAAGUUUUUUGUUUUUUUGUUUGUUUGGUUGCUUAUAUUUGUGUGAAUUUGAGACAAACUACGUUUGGUUACCUGUGUUGAAAUGAUAUUAUCUCAUCAGGGUUAAGUUUAGGGUUGCCUUUGUCAUUUGAUUUUAGAUUGGAUUUGUUUGUGUUGCCCGCCCUGUGCACUUUUGUCACAUGAAAAAAAAUGGUUGAAAUGGUGUAUUUGCAGUAUCCAUUAUGUCUCGAGUUUAUGUUUUUUAUAUUCAAAUUGAGGUUGUUCAUCUAAUAUCAAUAUCAAUUAAAAAUGGAGGGUUCCAAUUUAACAGGUUGAAAUUACAAAAGCUAAAAAUCUAUUUUCUGAAGCAUAAUUUAGCCUGAACGUUUGAUGUUGCUUAAAUCAGUUAUUUUAUGAUACUUUGCAGAUAACUAAGCACAUACAUUAACCAGAUUAAAAUAAACAGUUGGUUGCUUUAUCAAAAGAACAAUCACAGCACACUAUCUCAUAGAGAUAGUACUUAAAAAAAUCAAAACUUUCUACCGUGAUUUACACUCGAUUAGAGAUAUGUAUGUGGGAGCACAAGCGGUGUGAGUGGGUAGACGCUUACAGUUCUUUCUCAAGAAACCACUUAAACAAUGUUUCACUCGCAAAUUACCCAUCAUGUAUGCCAGGCCAGAUUUUCUUGCCUCUCUCAGAUCCUCCAGUUGCUUGCUGCAACUUACCCCUCGAAAUCUCUCUGCUUUGUUUGCUAGAACUACACCCAUCUCUAUUUUCAAGCCUAAAAUCCUUAACAUCGUCUGGUGAGCUUUGAUUGCUACUUAUUCAGGGCAAGUGGCCUUUCAAAUGCUCGAAGUUGACCAUCAUCAGGGUCACAGUUCUAACUUUCUAUCAGAUGAUUCUCAAAAUCAUGACUAUCCUUCCUUUCUUUGAUCUUCAUAAUAGUUACCUAACAACACGUUGAGUGAAACAGAACUUUGCAGAGCCAAUGCAUCUGGUAAAGACAUCAAGCAGAAAUAGAGCACGGCAAAGUCGGGAAUUUUUUGAUAGGAUACAACUGUUAGAUAAAAUGGCAGCAACAACCAAACAAUGAAACACUAAGAGCAUAAGCUCUUCAAACAGCAAGCAGAAAAACACAAAGCAUCAAGAGCAUAAGCUCUCGGUUGACAAGCAAAAGGAAAAAAAAAUAUGUUUGAUUGAAACCGAAUGAUAAUACCAUUUUCAUUUCAUUUCAAAAUAUAGAGUUACAAAAGUGGAAUGUUUACCUAACAAUUUCCACUAAAUUUGGCAACUUGCCAAUUAAUAAUUAAAAAGAUGAAAGCAUUAUAGCUAUCAUUAUGAAAGCAUAUUAGCUAUUAUUAUGAAACCAAGUUGCAUAUCAACUUGUUUCAAUUAUAGCUAUCAUUACAAAUAUUAAAAAUAAACAAAAUGCACCAAGUUGCUCCUUUGUUGCUUUACAGUCCAUGUUCAACAACAACUUAGUAACUAGGACAGUGAUAAAAUUUUCACUAUUUCUCUUGUAAGAGAAUAUUAAACACCUGGCUCUGGUUGCCCCUUUCACUUUGCCCCUGCAAGCAGGUCGUAACGAUCAUUACACUAAUCAUCGCUAGGCCUAAAGAUUUAUUUUGGCACAUCAUGUUAAUUUUAUGUCUAAAGAUUUUGCAUUUUGUGACAAAGGAAUGGAAUUCCCAUCCCAUGUUAAAUUGAUGUUAUGUUUUGAAAUUACGGGGUUUUGAUAUUUUUGAGUUCCCCCUUUGAAUGAUGUCCUGUUUUAUUGUAACCAAAGAUAUUGCUACAGUUACAUGCAGUAGUGAGUAGGGUCUGGCUCAUGCGCAACACACGAACUAACGACAAAGCUCCCAAAUUUGAGAGGAUAUGGAUAUAAGAGAAUCUGAAACUCACAACCAACAGUCGCCCUUUAACCAACCACAACCAUCCAUCUCAGCUUUCUUAUCCUUCCUCCCACCACUAGUCUCUCCCUUACCCGAAUCUAAAAGACUAAAACCGAUCCCUCACCUUCCUCUCUUUCUUCAUCAUCAGCAAAGAAAUAUACCAGAAAAUCAAAAAGAAGAAGAAAAGAGAUCCCCAUGAUGUCUCUUACAAUCCCAACUAAUCUCUCAAAAUCAAUUUUGAAGCCAAAGCUGGAGACCCAAGUGAUCCCCAAGGCUUCAUCCAGAUCAUUGAUUGUAUGCUCCUCCAGCAAUCCUUCCUCCUCCGACAAAUCGGCUUCAUCACUCCAGGCCUUCUCAGCGGCUCUCGCUCUUUCUUCCAUCCUUCUUUCGGCUCCACUCCCUGCUGUUGCCGACAUUGCGGGGCUCACUCCUUGCAAAGAGUCCAAGCAAUUCGCCAAGCGCGAGAAGCAGCAGAUCAAGAAGCUGGAAUCCUCGUUGAAGCUUUACGCCCCCGAUAGCGCACCGGCUCUCGCCAUCAAAGCCACCAUCGAGAAAACCAAGAGACGGUUCGACAACUACGGCAAGUACGGCUUGCUCUGCGGCUCCGAUGGGUUGCCUCAUUUGAUAGUGAGCGGCGAUCAGAGGCACUGGGGUGAGUUCAUCACGCCCGGCCUGUUGUUCUUGUACAUCGCUGGAUGGAUCGGGUGGGUCGGAAGGAGCUACCUUAUUGCUAUAAGCGAUGACAAGAAGCCAGCCAUGAAGGAGAUCAUCAUCGAUGUGCCUUUGGCUACCGGUCUCAUCUUC